Molecule: long non-coding RNA, 72152 nt
Filed under: Triticum aestivum (bread wheat)
Lineage: Eukaryota; Viridiplantae; Streptophyta; Magnoliopsida; Poales; Poaceae
Description: long non-coding RNA (TAES_LNC019738)
Source: RNAcentral
UGAGCAGAUCCACACGUACGUCGCAGCAAAAAUGUUAAAAGAAUGUUGGUUGUGUAGUCACUUUGAUCAGACACGUUUAAAAGGAUAUUGUAUAUAGUUGUAAUAGUAAGUAGUGCACUAUAUGGAGUGCUCAGGUGAGCCGAAUAAUGGUCGUUUAUAUGUAAGCGGACUAUGUCCACAUGUUGAAGCUGCUGCUACUAGUACGUUUGGAAGCGCUCAGCUAGUACAAUACUCAAAUCUUAUGGAAUGAAAUGGCUAUGUAGUGUGAUGCAUCGUUAUUUAGCCAAGUGAACUAGAUAAAUGUUCGUGUAAAUCUGAAGUGAUACUUGUCCACUUCAAUAUUAGAAUCAUCAAGCUCUAUAGGGGGAAACUUAUCACCUUGGGCUUGAGAGCAUCUCUAGCUCUAAAAACAUUAUACAGUUCCGAGCAGUUUUACGCCUCCUUUGGUUCUAAUUCAUAGGAAUACUAUAGUUCUAAUUCAUAGGAAUUCUAGAGGAGGAUUUGCAAAGAAAGUUUUUCUUUGAAGCCCUUUGGUUUAUAACAGGAGCCAAUCUUUUGAAGGAAUGGAUUUCUGUAAUGUUGAGACUCAGAUGGAAAAAUUCCUAUCCUACGCAUAAAAGGAAUUGAGAUGCAGAUCAUCUCACUUCUUACGAUUUUUUUUAUUCCUAUACUAUUUCUACCCUAUGAAACCAAAGGAGGUCAUCUCACUUCUUACGAUUUUCUUAUUCCUAUACCAUUUUCUAUACUAUAAAACCAAAGGAGGUCAUCUCACUUCGUAUGAUUUUCUUAUUCCUAUACCAUUUCUAUCCUAUAAAACCAAAGGAGGUAACAUGCUUCCUUUUACCUCCUCUUUUCACAUGAAGAUAAGAGUAUAUAUUAGAUCUGAGUCAUUUAUCUCAUUAAUUAGUGGUCUCCUUCUUACCUUCUCUUUUUAUACGAAGAUAAUUAAUAAAUCUGAGUCAUUUAUCUCAUUAAUUAGUGGCUUCUCAUUAAUUAGUGGUCUGAUUGCUUUUAUCUUCUUAACUCACAUGUAAGAAAAAGAUAAAAGGAGCAUGUUAAAAUUUGCCAUACAGUCCCCUAAACAAAUUUGCGGGAAGGAAUACUAGAGUCUGAUAUUUUUAUUGUUUUGUAGACUAUAAUUCUAUUCUGCUGUUAUUGGAGUCAUCCAAAGUGAAAAUUUUGAAGCACCUACGAAGACAUCAAUAUGCUGAAGAAUCACCCUUUUGUUAGAUUUGAGGAUCCUCGCGCCCGUCAACCGUGGAGGAGCCGGCCAUAGAGGUGAUUGCCACGGAGGAGCAGAAGCCGCGGGUGGGCGGCGGUGCAGGUUGGCCUUCAUCGCGCGCUGGGCGCAUCUGGGGCUGCUUCCUGCCGCAGGCGAUGAGGGAAGGAGGAACUAAGCCCACGACAAGCUUUUUUGGAUGGAGGGAGUAUUUGUGUUAAGUGUUACUCGCGAUGGGCGACCCCAGCGCUGCGCCCCUCCACCAGGCCCCCACAGGUGGCGGCCACCCUUCCGGCGCCUCCCGGUGACCAAAGCCAUGGCGAACGCGAACAAAAUGGAGUCCACGCGGGAGCGGAAGCUUGCGCUUCACCGGAACAUAGGUCAAUUAUAUCUUAAUUUUCGUUGAGGAUGGUUCUCUACACUGACGUGAUGUGACCGUGUGAAGUUCGUACCUGAAACCUCUGGAGCAUUGACUUUUUGUUUGUAGGAUUCUGAAACCGUGUUAUGCUAUGAGCAGACGGUGGCACUUCUAACAGAGAGGGCUAAUCAGAGUUUAGGGGGCAAAGGAGAUAAAUUAUCCAUAAACUCCGAGAAAUCUUUGAUAUUCAAGUGUAAUAAUUAAGGGUACACUUAAGAAUUUUUCUAGAGUAGGGGGACAAUGGCCCCCUUUGACCCCAUGAAGCUCCGCUACGGAUGCAGACUACGGGAAAACGAAUGGAUUAAGAUGAAGACGGUCAGUUCAAUUAGCGAGCAUGUGAAGGCUUGUGACACCUUCCAGCUAACACUUCAAUUUCUACCCGGUGAUGCAGCUAGAAGGACAGCCGCCUGUCUGAUGGAGCGGUUCUUGUUGCCUGUGUGGCGAAUCUGGAGAGCGUUGCUCCGGAAGCUCGCCUCGGUUGACCUCGUGGGGCUCUCCCAUCAGCAAAAGCUAGCCUUAUGGAUCAAUAUCUACUAAAUGACCCGUUGUGCCUAUGAAGCAAAAAGCGAGAGCAAGCCGAGCAUUCAAACAAUGCAAGUGAGAUUCAAUUAGAACCAAUUUAAUAGAUACUUAGGUACACAUAGCCCUAUAUAUUCCAUUGCAUGGUAGCAUGAUGCCUCAAAAGAAAGUUAUGACAUCACUUGAUGAUAACUUACAUUGGCUUUAUAAAGCAAGUUGUAUUAGCAGAGAUGCAUCACAUAUAUAGCACAAGCUUUGGCUUGAAUAGGACACGAAGGCGGUGGUAUUAGGUAGAGUCAUUAUUGCAUGUCCCAUCAAUAUCAAACAUGAUUUCAUCUAAGCAACUCUUACUGGCAGGUGUGUUUGGUGGGCUAUUGUAAGUGAAAGCAAAGAUGUCUUCCAUAUCGCCGAAUUCAUAUCUAAACCCGAGUGAUGCUUGAGACCAAAUGAAUAGAACUCAACUGUUGCUUCGAGGCCAAUCGUUCUGGCUUUGCAGGUUGAGUGAACUGCAUUUAGAAGUUGAAGCUGCUACAACAUAUCAUCCAGAAGCCUUUGUUGGGAUACUAACCUAAGCAUACAAAGAACAUGGAGUCAACUAAAAGAAAGUUUAAUAAAAACUAAAAUAAUAAAAAGCAGUAAAAGCUAAAAAAAUGGCAUAAAGCUAUUUCUAGAACAACACUUUUCACCACGACUAUUUUUUAGAACCUGUUCAUAGCAUAAAUUGCAUGGUUCAACAACUCAAGAAUGUCAAGCUAUUUUUUUGUAACCUUGUUCAUCAAUCACAUUUACGGAUCUUAGUAAAAAGGGAUGGAUACAAGGAGAUAUAAAAAAAAUCGACAAUAAGGCACACCCAUUUGGACAACAACGUGAGACAUAACAAUGUGAAAAGUAAAAAAGCAAGGACAAAUAUUCUGAUUUCAUCAGGUUGCGAGAACUAUCAUAAAUAAAUGCACUUCAUUACAUCAGAACCUUUCCCUGGAUGUGUCUUCAUCUUACGAACAUGUGAAAUAAUAAGAUCUAUGCAGACUACAUAUAUACACAAAAUAAAAGGAGAUAUAAGAAAAUCAUUCGAGGUUGAAGUAAAAUUCUGAAACUCUGGAUAUGUCAUGGACAAUUCGGCCUCAUGACAGUUAUUGCUAAUUUAUUUGUGAAUUUGUCAACCAACACAUACUCCAUACCCUAGGCCUAGGGUAAACGUCCGAAACUGUGGACAUUCAAGGUUGACCAUGUGCAAGAUAAAAAAAAUACUGCUAACAUACACAAAAGAAAAUGAGAUAUGCAGUUCGACAAUGCAAAUGGUUUAAAAUGAAGUAUUCAUACCCUGGGCCUUCAACCAUGGUGCCUAAAUCUUUUUUCUGCAAAGCAAAUGCAUCGGUACUGCAACGUGAAAAAAAUUAUCCUCCGGCUCAUUCAGAUAUGAGAGCAACUGGAUCUGCUCUGAAGGCUGAAACUGUAGAGAAUUUAGCUCACCUCAGAAGCAACCAAGCGAACCAUCCACAUCUCAGAAUUGUAACGACAUGAGAAUUCGGCACCUGCCGACACUAUGCAUGCGAAUAUUUGCAUCAGUAAAUAUUGCUUUGUGACACACUUGGAUAUCCAAUAGCUCCAAAGUGCACACAGAAUUAUAAUUGUAGACUGUAGGCUAUCCAUUGACAAGUUUUUUAUUGUUGCAUGGCAUUGCGAAAAUGAGGAGCAUUGUAAUGUCAAUGCGUUGGUACAGAAAAGAUUACUACAACAAUAAAAAGAAAAUUAUAACAUAAUGUUAACAAACUGAACAAAUUGCUUAUGCACAACAUCAAAUUGUUCAAGAGUCCAAUUAGAACAGAGAGUUAUGUAGUUAUAACCAAGUGAACUGAUUACAUUAUCGAGUAGCCUACAAAUAUAUAUAUGGUCAUACGCAGACAUACAAUUAUUAGUUAUAAAAGUUCAGAUCCACUACAUGGAGUAUGAUUCAGCCACACAUCAUAAGUGGGUGAGAUGAUUCAUUAUAUUUAGGAUAAAACAUAAAAGAAAUAUAAAGCCAAAGGCCCGCUACAUGAGCUUUAUGUAGGCGAUAACACAGGCUCAUGAUGAUGCCCUUAGAGGCAACGAACAGGAAAAGUGAGGCGGUGUUGUACUGACAGCACAACCCUCUAGGCCUCUACCUCAUAAUUAUUAACCUUGUACAUAGGUGAUAACAACGACCAGAAGACAACUUUAGUUAGCGCAGGAGCAAAGGUACGAGGCAACAAAGAUCCCAUUUCAAACUUAUUUGAAAAUAAAUGCUUAGUAAUUUGGCAAUACUCAGAACCCUUUUAACAACCGAAAUUUAGGCAAACAUCUCUUUCAAAAUAUAUAAGAGUUUUCAAAAUGCGGCCAUAAGUUCUAUUUGUACAAUUUGUUGUAUUAGAUGAUUUGUUGCGUCUAAUACGUAAAAUACAUAGAAAGCUACAGAAUGUAAAACAUGACAAACAAUCCUCCAUUGCAUCAAUUAAAACAUGCAGCAACUGAUAAAAGCUGAUGAUUGAAUUUUUGUGUUAUCUUUGUAACAGAUAAAAGAAACACUCUAGGCACAUAUUGACCAUAGCACUUUGGGUCAAAAUUAAAUUCAGAUAAGUAUAUAAAAUCAGCAAUGCUAGAUAACUGAAAGGAAAAAUGUCUUGGCAAAGUCGAUCAAUACCAUAAAGCAAAUGAAGUAUGGUUUUGAGUCAGCAAAAUCAAUCAACAAAAGCCGUGAAACUUGUGGUCAUCGAGAGAAGAGCAUUAUCCUUCUCCCUAUCAUCACGCUUGAUUCUUCUGCCACAAGAUAGAAAUAGACUACUUUCUCAAGCUUCAUAGAUGAAUCCUGAUAGAAACAAACUACUUGAGAAUCACAGUUGUGCAAAAUUGCAAAUGACUAAGAAAAGAUUAUAUAUUAAUAUUCUGAAUCAGUGUGUCACUAAACAUAUAUAUGUGUCAAUUAAUUGAAGAAACAAAAGAUAAAUGGUUACACUGCUGAUCAGAUUGUUACCCCAUCAUAUAGGAAUGGCUUAUUUCUUGCAUUUUCCCAAGCAAAGGUACGGUUUAUCAGGUUGCCCACCAUAGCUGGGAAAGAUAUGGGUCUUGCGACUGAAAUACACGAAUAGUUCUCCAGCCUUUUCUGCCCUUUUAAGGUUUACGUGAGCAUCCCUUCCAGAACUAUACCUCUUUGAGUCCUGCAAAAUAGCUUUGGUGUCAUUUUUCAUACUUAGGGAACCAUAUAAUUUUCUAUAAAAAUGCAUGCAGGCAGGUUAGUCAGUGUAACAAGUGCAUAUGCUAUGCUCAGUAUUUGAUCAUUGUAAGCCCAAAGCAAAUAGCCUAAAACUACAUGGUUAUAUUCUUCAAGCCAAGCCUCUUCAUCACAAGCACCAAUCCAUUUAUUUAACCUGUCCAUAAUAUCUUUUCGACUUAGUGACUCUUCUUCUGCUUUCAAUAUUUGUGACUCGAUAUUCAUGAGGAGCCCACAAGGGUAAAUAGUGCCUGAAUGGUGCAUAGGCAAGAGUCACAAUGUGUAAGAAAACAACCACUGGUGAAGAUAGUUACUUGAGCAAGAUGCAUAAAGUAUAACCAGAAUCAAUCAGAGUGUUGGUUUGCUCAGGGGGCUAUGCUGAGAUCAAGUUCUAUGUGUGCAUUCUCGCAUAAAUGUUCUAAUUCGGUCCUUCUCUUUGUGACAAGUUCUUCCAUUCUGUUCGUUUUAACUUCUGUUAACCUCUCAACCGCAGCUUCCAUCUGCAUAAGAAAUCAGCACUGAAGUUGUAAAAAAUGAUUAAGGUAAGCAACAAAAAAGGUAUUAAAGAAAAACCAAAGGCGAUCUGGAAAACCUUCCUGAUUGUUUCCUAGGAAAGAACACCAACGGGCGUGGUUCCCUCUUCUGGUGAUAUGAGAAUGCUGAUUACUUUGCUGAAUUGUCUCUUCUCCUCUUUAGAAGAGUCCAUUAACUUCCGGAGGUGACAUAAUGAUUCCAUUGUGUCUCUCAUCUAUAGGCAAACGAUUGCUUGAGAAUGCAUUAUGCAGAACUCAUAUAAAAAAGUUAGAUGAAAGGAACCUUGAGAGUACCUUAUCGAUUCUAGAUUUUCUCUGUGCUUUAAGAUUUGAUAUUGUGCUAGCAAGACCUUCCAGUGUGCCAUUGUUGAUGUUUCUGGACUGCUCAACACAAUUCUGAUGUAGACUGGGAUGAAUCCAUUUACAGUCUUGCGAAAUCAGGGACUCCACAUAAAGAAUGCACUUCAUUUACAUAUUUCAGAACUUUGUGAAGUAUAUCAGACUAAAAAUAUUGCAAACAAGGAAAUGAUACGUCUCCAACGUAUCUAUAAUAUUUGAUUGUUCCAUGCUAUUAUAUUAUCUGUUUUGGAUGUUUAUGGGCUUUAUUAUACACGUUUAUAUUAUUUUUGGGACUAACCUAUUAACCGGAGGCCUAGCCCAAAUUGCUGUUUUCUUGCCUAUUUCAGUGUUCCGAAGAAAAGGAAUAUCAAACGGAGUCCAAAAGGAAUGAAACCUUCGGGAGAGUUAUUUUUGGAACGGAAGCAAUCCAGGAGACUUGGAGUAGACGUCAGGGAAGCUUCGAGGUGGCCACGAGGCAGCGAGGCGCGCCCUGUUGGAAAUAUGCUCUAGAGGCAAUAAUAAAAUGGUUAUUAUUAUAUUUCCUUGUUCAUGAUAAUUGUCUAUUGUUCAUGCUAUAAUUGUGUUAUCCGGAAAUCGUAAUACAUGUGUGAAUACAUAGACCACAACGUGUCCCUAGUAAGCCUCUAGUUGACUAGCUCGUUGAUCAACAGAUAGUCAUGGUUUCCUGACUAUGGACAUUGGAUGUCAUUGAUAACGGGAUCACAUCAUUAGGAGAAUGAUGUGAUGGACAAGACCCAAUCCUAAGCAUAGCACAAAGAUCGUGUAGUUCGUUUGCUAGAGCUUUUCCAAUGUCAAGUAUCAUUUCCUUAGACCAUGAGAUCGUGUAACUCCCGGAUGCCGUAGGAGUGCUUUGGGUGUACUAAACGUCACAACGUAACUAGGUGACUAUAAAGGUACACUACAGGUAUCUCUGAAAGUGUCUGUUGGGUUGACACGGAUCGAGACUGGGAUUUGUCACUCCGUAUGACGGAGAGGUAUCUCUGGGCCCACUCGGUAAUGCAUCAUCAUAAUGAGCUCAAUGUGACCAAGUGUUUGGUCACGGGAUCAUGCAUUACGGUAUGAGUAAAGUGACUUGCCGGUAACGAGAUUGAACGAGGUAUUGGGAUACCGACGAUCGAAUCUCGGGCAAGUAAUGUACCGGUUGACAAAGGGAAUUGUAUACGGGAUUGAUUGAAUCCUCGACAUCGUGGUUCAUCCGAUGAGAUCAUCGAGGAACAUGUGGGAGCCAACAUGGGUAUCCAGAUCCCGCUGUUGGUUAUUGAACGGAGAGUCGUCUCGGUCAUGUCUGCAUGUCUCCCGAACCCGUAGGGUCUACACACUUAAGGUUCGGUGACGCUAGGGUUUUAGAGAUAUUAGUAUGCGGUAAUCCGAAAGUUGUUCGGAGUCCCGGAUGAGAUCCCGGACGUCACGAGGAGUUCCGGAAUGGUCCGGAGGUGAAGAAUUAUAUAUAGGAAGUCCAGUUUCGGCCACCGGGAAAGUUUCGGGGGUUACCGGUAUUGUACCGGGACCACCGGAAGGGUCCCGGGGGUCCACCGGGUGGGGCCACCUAUCCCGGAGGGCCCCAUGGGCUGAAAUGGGAGGGGAACCAGCCCCUGGUGGGCUGGUGCGCCCCCCUUGGGCCUCCCCCUGAUCUCCCAGGGCCGGCGCCCCCCAGGAGGCCUAUAUAUAGGAGGGGGGAGGGAGGGCAGCCACACCACAGCCCCUGGCGCCUCCCUCUCCCUCCCGUGACACAUCUCCCUCCUCCCGCAGCGCUCGGCGAAGCCCUGUCGGAAUCCCGCUACUUCCACCACCACGCCGUCGUGCAGCUGGAUCUCCAUCAACCUCUCCUCCCCCCUUGCUGGAUCAAGAAGGAGGAGACGUCGCUGCUCCGUACGUGUGUUGAACGCGGAGGUGCCGUCCGUUCGGUGCUCGGUCAUCGGUGAUUUGGAUCACGACGAGUACGACCCCAUCAACCACGUUCACUUGAACGCUUCCGCUCGCGAUCUACAAGGGUAUGUAGAUGCACUCCUCUCUCUCGUUGCUAGAUGACUCCAUAGAUUGAUCUUGGUGAUGCGUAGAAAAUUUUAAAUUUCUGCUACGAUCCCCAUUAGUGGUAUCAGAGCCAGGCCUAUGCGUAGUUUCUAUGCACGAGUAGAACACAAACUUGUUGUGGGCGUAGAUGUUGUCAAUUUUCUUGCCACUACUAGUCUUAUCUUGUUUCGGCGGCAUUGUGGGAUGAAGCGGUCCGGACCGACCUUACACGUACGCUUACGUGAGACAGGUUCCACCGACUGACAUGCACUAGUUGCAUAAGGUGGUUAGCGGGUGUCUGUCUCUCCCACUUUAGUCGGAACGGAUUCGAUGAAAAGGGUCCUUAUGAAGGGUAAAUAAAAAUUGGCAUAUCACGUUGUGGUUUUACGUAGGUAAGAAACGUUCUUGCUAGAAACCUAUAGAAGCCACGUAAAAACAUGCAACAAUAAUUAGAGGACGUCUAACUUGUUUUUGCAGCAUGUGCCUUGUGAUGUGAUAUGGCCAAAAGGAUGUGAUGAAUGAGAUAUAUGUGAUGUAUGAGAUUGAUCAUGUUCUUGUAAUAGGAAUCACGACUUGCAUGUCGAUGAGUAUGACAACCGGCAGGAGCCAUAGGAGUUGUCUUUAUUUUUUGUAUGACCUGCGUGUCAUUGAAUAACGCCAUGUAAAUUACAUUACUUUAUUGCUAAACACGUUAGCGAUAGAAGUAGAAGUAAUCGUUGGCGUGACAACUUCAUGAAGACACGAUGAUGGAGAUCAUGAUGAUGGAGAUCAUGGUGUCAUGCCGGUGACGAAGAUGAUCAUGGCGCCCCGAAGAUGGAGAUCAAAAGGAGCAAAAUGAUAUUGGCCAUAUCAUGUCACUAUUUGAUUGCAUGUGAUGUUUAUCAUGUUUUACAUCUUAUUUGCUUAGAACGACGGUAGCUUAAAUAAGAUGAUCCCUCGCAAUAAUUUCAAGAAAGUGUUCCCCCUAACUGUGCACCGUUGCGAAGGUUCGUUGUUUCGAAGCACCACGUGAUGAUCGGGUGUGAUAGAUUCUAACGUUCGAAUACAACGGGUGUAAGCCAGAUUUACACACGCAAUACACUUAGGUUGACUUGACGAGCCUAGCAUGUAUAGACAUGGCCUCGGAACACGGAAGACCGAAAGGUCGAGCAUGAGUCGUAUAGAAGAUACGAUCAACAUGAAGAUGUUCACCGAUGUUGACUAGUCCGUCUCACGUGAUAAUCGGACACGGCCUAGUUGACUCGGAUCAUGUUUCACUUAGAUGACUAGAGGGAUGUCUAUCUGAGUGGGAGUUCAUUGAAUAAUUUGAUUAGAUGAACUUAAUUAUCAUGAACUUAGUCUAAAAUCUUUACAAUAUGUCUUGUAGAUCAAAUGACCCACGUUGCCCUCAACUUCAACGCGUUCGUAGAGAAAACCAAGCUGAAAGAUGAUGGCAGCAACUAUACGGACUGGGUCCGGAACCUGAGGAUCAUCCUCAUAGCUGCCAAGAAACAUUAUGUCCUAGAAGCACCGCUAGGUGAAGCACCCAUCCCAGAGAACCAAGACGUUAUGAACGCUUGGCAGUCACGUGCUGAUGAUUACUCCCUCGUUCAGUGCGGCAUGCUUUACAGCUUAGAACCGGGGCUCCAAAAGCGUUUUGAGCAAAACAGAGCAUAUGAGAUGUUCGAAGAGCUGAAAAUGGUUUUCCAAGCUCAUGCCCGGGUCGAGAGAUAUGAAGUCUCCGACAAGUUCUUCAGUUGUAAGAUGGAGGAAAACAGUUCUGUCAGUGAGCACAUACUCAAAAUGUCUGGGUUGCACAACCGCUUGACUCAGCUGGGAGUUAAUCUCCCGGAUGACGCGGUCAUUGACAGAAUCCUUCAGUCGCUUCCACCAAGCUACAAGAGCUUUGUGAUGAACUUCAAUAUGCAGGGGAUGGAAAAGACCAUUCCUGAGGUAUAUUCAAUGCUGAAAUCAGCGGAGGUGGAGAUCAGAAAGGAACAUCAAGUGUUGAUGGUGAAUAAAACCACUAAGUUCAAGAAAGGCAAGGGUAAGAAGAACUUCAAGAAGGACGGCAAGAGAGUUGCCGCGCCCGGUAAGCCAGUUGCCGGGAAGAAACCAAAGAAUGGACCCAAGCCUGAGACUGAGUGCUUUUAUUGCAAGGGAAGUGGUCACUGGAAGCGGAACUGCCCCAAAUACUUAGCGGACAAGAAGGCCGGCAACACCAAAGGUAUAUGUGAUAUACAUGUAAUUGAUGUGUACCUUACCAGUACUCGUAGUAGCUCCUGGGUAUUUGAUACCGGUGCGGUUGCUCAUAUUUGUAACUCAAAACAGGAGCUGCGGAAUAAGCGGAGACUGGCGAAGGACGAGGUGACGAUGCGUGUCGGGAAUGGUUCCAAGGUCGAUGUGAUCGCCGUCGGCACGCUACCUCUACAUUUACCUACGGGAUUAGUUUUAAACCUCAAUAAUUGUUAUUUAGUGCCAGCUUUGAGCAUGCACAUUGUAUCAGGAUCUCGUUUAAUGCGAGAUGGCUACUCAUUUAAAUCCGAGAAUAAUGGUUGUUCUAUUUAUAUGAGAGAUAUGUUUUAUGGUCAUGCCCCGCUGGUCAAUGGUUUAUUCUUAAUGAAUCUCGAACGUGAUGUUACACAUAUUCAUAGUGUGAAUACCAAAAGAUGUAAAGUUGAUAACGAUAGUCCCACAUACUUGUGGCACUGCCGCCUUGGUCACAUUGGUGUCAAGCGCAUGAAGAAGCUCCAUGCAGAUGGACUUUUGGAGUCUCUUGAUGACGAAUCAUUUGACACGUGCGAACCAUGCCUCAUGGGCAAAAUGACCAAGACUCCGUUCUCCGGAACAAUUUAGCGAGCAACCAACUUAUUAGAAAUCAUACAUACUGAUGUGUGCGGUCCAAUGAGUGUUGAGGCUCGCGGAGGCUAUCGUUAUGUUCUCACUCUCACUGAUGACUUGAGUAGAUAUGGGUAUGUCUACCUAAUGAAACACAAGUCUGAGACCUUUGAAAAGUUCAAGGAAUUUUAGAGUGAGGAUGAGAAUCAACGUGACAGGAAAAUAAAGUUCCUACGAUCAGACCGUGGAGGGGAAUAUUUAAGUCACGAAUUUGGCACACACUUAAGGAAAUGUGGAAUAGUUUCACAACUCACGCCGCCUGGAACACCUCAGCGAAAUGGUGUGUCCGAACGUCGUAAUCGCACUCUAUUGGAUAUGGUGCGAUCUAUGAUGUCUCUUACCGAUCUACCGCUCUCAUUUUGGGGCUAUGCUUUAGAGACUGCCGCAUUCACUUUAAAUAGGGCUCCGUCGAAAUCCGUUGAGACGACACCGUAUGAAUUAUGGUUUGGGAAGAAACCUAAGCUGUUGUUUCUAAAAGUUUGGGGAUGCGAUGCUUAUGUCAAGAAACUUCAACCUGAAAAGCUCGAACCCAAGUCGGAAAAAUGCGUCUUCAUAGGAUACCCUAAGGAAACCAUUGGGUAUACCUUCUACCUCAGAUCCGAAGGCAAGAUCUUUGUUGCCAAGAACGGGUCCUUUCUGGAGAAAGAGUUUCUCUCAAAAGAAGUGAGUGGGAGGAAAGUGGAACUUGAUGAGGUGAUAGUCACCCCUUCCGAACCGGAAAGUAGCGCAGCGCGGGAAAAUGUUCCUGUGGUGCCUGCACCGACUGGGGAGGAAGUUAAUGAUGAUCAUGAAGCUUCAGAUCAAGUUACUGCUGAACUUCGUAGGUCCACAAGGACACGUUCCGCACCAGAGUGGUACAGCAACCCUGUCUUGGAAAUCAUGUUGUUAGACAACGGUGAACCUUCGAACUAUGAAGAAGCGAUGGCGGGCCCGGAUUCGAACAAAUGGCUUGAAGCCAUGCAAUCCGAGAUAGGAUCCAUGUAUGAAAACAAAGUAUGGACUUUGACUGACUUGCCCGAUGAUCGGCGAGCGAUAGAAAACAAAUGGAUCUUUAAGAAGAAGACAGACGCGGAUGGUAAUGUGACCAUCUAUAAGGCUCGACUUGUCGCUAAGGGUUAUCAACAAGUUCAAGGGGUUGACUACGAUGAGACUUUCUCACCCGUAGCGAAGCUGAAGUCCGUCCGAGUCAUGUUAGCAAUUGUCGCAUUCUAUGAUUAUGAGAUAUGGCAAAUGGACGUCAAAACGGCAUUCCUUACCGGCUUUCUUAAGGAAGAAUUGUAUAUGAUGCAGCCGGAAGGUUUUGUCGAUCCUAAGAAUGCUAACAAGGUAUGCAAGCUCCAGCGCUCCAUCUAUGGGUUGGUGCAAGCAUCUCGGAGUUGGAACAUUCGAUUUGAUGAGAUGAUCAAAGCAUUUGGGUUUACACAGACUUAUGGAGAAGCCUGUGUUUACAAGAAAGUGAGUGGGAGCUCUGUAGCAUUUCUCUUAUUAUAUGUGGAUGACAUACUAUUGAUGGGAAAUGAUGUAGAAUUCUUGGAAAGUAUAAAGGCCUAUUUGAAUAAGUGUUUUUCAAUGAAGGACCUUGGAGAAGCUGCUUAUAUAUUAGGCAUCAAGAUCUAUAGAGAUAGAUCAAGACGCCUCAUUGGUCUUUCACAGAGUACGUACCUUGACAAGAUAUUGAAGAAGUUCAAUAUGGAUCAGUCCAAGAAGGGGUUCUUGCCUGUAUUGCAAGGUGUGCAAUUGAGUACGGCUCAAUGCCCGACCACGGCAGAAGAUAGAGAAAAGAUGAGUGUCGUCCCCUAUGCCUCGGCCAUAGGGUCUAUUAUGUAUGCCAUGCUGUGUACCAGACCUGAUGUAAACCUUGCCGUAAGUUUGGUAGGAAGGUACCAAAGUAAUCCCGGCAUGGAACACUGGACAGCGGUCAAGAAUAUCCUAAGUACCUGAAGAGGACUAAGGAUAUGUUUCUCGUUUAUGGAGGUGACGAAGAGCUCGUCGUAAAGGGUUACGUCGAUGCUAGCUUCGACACAGAUCUGGAUGACUCUAAGUCACAAACCGGAUACGUGCAUAUUUUGAAUGGAGGGGCAGUAAGCUGGUGCAGUUGCAAGCAAAGCGUCGUGGCGGGAUCUACAUGUGAAGCGGAGUACAUGGCGGCCUCAGAGGUAGCGCAAGAAGCAAUCAGGAUGAAGGAGUUCAUUACCGACCUAGGGGUGAUUCCCAAUGCGUCGGGCCCGAUGACUCUCUUCUGUGACAACACUGGAGCUAUUGCCCUUGCCAAGGAGCCCAGGUUUCACAAGAAGACCAGGCAUAUCAAGCGUCGCUUCAACUCCAUUCGUGAAAGUGUUCAAAAUGGAGACAUAGAUAUUUGUAAAGUACAUACGGACCUAAAUGUAGCAGAUCCGUUGACUAAACCUCUCCCUAGAGCAAAACAUGAUCAACACCAGAACUCUAUGGGUGUUCGAUCCAUCACAAUGUAACUAGAUUAUUGACUCUAGUGCAAGUGGGAGACUGUUGGAAAUAUGCCCUAGAGGCAAUAAUAAAAUGGUUAUUAUUAUAUUUCCUUGUUCAUGAUAAUUGUCUAUUGUUCAUGCUAUAAUUGUGUUAUCCAGAAAUCGUAAUACAUGUGUGAAUACAUAGACCACAACGUGUCCCUAGUAAGCCUCUAGUUGACUAGCUCGUUGAUCAACAGAUAGUCAUGGUUUCCUGACUAUGGACAUUGGAUGUCAUUGAUAACGGGAUCACAUCAUUAGGAGAAUGAUGUGAUGGACAAGACCCAAUCCUAAGCAUAGCACAAAGAUCGUGUAGUUCGUUUGCUAGAGCUUUUCCAAUGUCAAGUAUCAUUUCCUUAGACCAUGAGAUCGUGUAACUCCCGGAUGCCGUAGGAGUGCUUUGGGUGUACCAAACGUCACAACGUAACUGGGUGACUAUAAAGGUACACUGCAGGUAUCUCUGAAAGUUUCUCUUGGGUUGACACGGAUCGAGACUGGGAUUUGUCACUCUGUAUGACGGAGAGGUAUCUCUGGGCCCACUCAGUAAUGCAUCAUCAUAAUGAGCUCAAUGUGACCAAGUGUUUGGUCACAGGAUCAUGCAUUACGGUACGAGUAAAGUUACUUGCCGGUAACGAGAUUGAACGAGGUAUUGGGAUACCGACGAUCGAAUCUCGGGCAAGUAACAUACCGGUUGACAAAGGGAAUUGUAUACGGGAUUGAUUGAAUCCUCGACAUCGUGGUUCAUCCGAUGAGAUCAUCGAGGAACAUGUGGGAGCCAACAUGGGUAUCCAGAUCCCGCUGUUGGCUAUUGACCGGAGAGUCGUCUCGGUCAUGUCUGCAUGUCUCCCGAACCCGUAGGGUCUACACACUUAAGGUUCGGUGACGCUAGGGUUGUAGAGAUAUUAGUAUGCGGUAACCCGAAAAUUAUUCAGAGUCCCGGAUGAGAUCCCGGACGUCACGAGGAGUUCCGGAAUGGUCUGGAGGUGAAGAAUUAUAUAUAGGAAGUCCAGUUUCGGCCACCGGGAAAGUUUCGGGGUUUACCGGUAUUGUACCGGGACCACCGGAAGGGUCCCGGGGGUCCACCGGGUGGGGCCACCUAUCCCGGAGGGCCCCAUGGGCUGAAGUGGGAGGGGAACCAGCCCCUGGUGGGCUGGUGCGCCCCCCCUUGGGCCUCCCCCUGCGCCUAGGGUUGGAAACCCUAGGGGUGGGGGCGCCCCCCACUUGGCUUGGGGGGAAGCCACCCCUUGGCCGCCGCCCCCCUUGGAGAUCUGAUCUCCCAGGGCUGGCGCCCCCCCAGGAGGCCUAUAUUGUUGGGGAACAUAGUAAUUUCAAAAAAUUUCUACGCACACGGAAGAUCAUGGUGAUGCAUAGCAACGAGAGGGGAGAGUGUUGUCCACGUACCCGCGUAGACCGAUAGCGGAAGCGUUUAACACAACGCGGUUGAUGUAGUCGUACGUCUUCACGAUCCGACUGAUCAAGUACCGAACGCACGGCACCUCCAAGUUCAGCACACGUUCAGCUCGAUGACGUCCCUCGAACUCCGAUCCAGCCGAGUGUUGAGGGAGAGUUUUGUCAGCACGACGGCGUGGUGACAAUGUUGAUGUUCUACCGACGCAGGGCUUCGCCUAAGCACCGCUACACAGCUAAGAGAUCAAUGAUCAAUUGUGUGUCUAUGGGGUGUCCCCCUGCCCCCAUAUAUAAAGGAGCAAGGGGGGAGGCGGCCGGCCUAGGAGGAGGGCGCGCCAAGGGGGGAGUCCUACUCCCAUCGGGAGUAGGACUCCUCCUUUCCUUGUUGGAGUAGGAAAAGGGAAGGGAGAAGGAGAAAGAAGGAAGGGGGCGCUCCCCCUCCCUAGUCCAAUUCGGACUAGUCCAUGGGGAGGGGUGCGGCCUCCCUUUGGGGUCUUUCUCUCCUUUCCCGUAUGGCCUAUUAAGGCCCAAUACGAAUUCCCGUAACUCUCCGUUACUCCGAAAAAUACCCGAAUCACUCGGAACCUUUCCGAAGUCCGAAUAUAGUCGUCCAAUAUAUCGAUCUUUACGUCUCGGACAUUUCGAGACUCCUCGUCAUAUCCCCGAUCUCAUCCGGGACUCCGAACUCCUUCGGUACAUCAAAAUACAUAAACUCAUAAUAAAACUGUCAUUGUAACGUUAAGCGUGCGGACCCUAUGGGUUCGAGAACUAUGUAGACAUGACCGAGACACCUCUCCGGUCAAUAACCAAUAGCGGAACCUGGAUGCUCAUAUUGGUUCUCACAUAUUCUAUGAAGAUCUUUAUCGGUCAGACCGCAUAACAACAUACGUUGUUCCCUUUGUCAUCAGUAUGUUACUUGCCCGAGAUUCGAUCGUCGGUAUCUCGAUACCUAGUUCAAUCUCGUUACCGGCAAGUCUCUUUACUCGUUCCGUAAUACAUCAUCCCGCAACUAACUCAUUAGUCACAAUGCUUGCAAGGCUUAUAGUGAUGUGUAUUACUGAGUGGGCCCAGAGAUACCUCUCCGACACUCGGAGUGACAAAUCCUAAUCUCGAAAUACGCAACCCAACAAGUACCUUUGGAGACACCUGUAGAGCACCUUUAUAAUCACCCAGUUACGUUGUGACAUUUGGUAGCACACAAAGUGUUCCUCCGGUAAACGGGAGUUGCAUAAUCUCGUAGUCAUAGGAACAUGUAUAAGUCAUGAAGAAAGCAAUAGCAACAUACUAAACGAUCGAGUGCUAAGCUAACGGAAUGGGUCAAGUCAAUCACAUCAUUCUCCUAAUGAUGUGAUCCCGUUAAUCAAAUGACAACUCAUGUCUAUGGCUAGGAAACAUAACCAUCUUUGAUCAACGAGCUAGUCAAGUAGAGGCAUACUAGUGACACUCUGUUUGUCUAUGUAUUCACACAAGUAUUAUGUUUUCGGUUAAUAAAAUUCUAGCAUGAAUAAUAAACAUUUAUCAUGAUAUAAGGAAAUAAAUAAUAACUUUAUUAUUGCCUCUAGGGCAUAUUUCCUUCAUAUAUAUAGGAGGGGGGAGGGAGGGCAGCCGCACCACAGCCCCUGGCGCCUCCCUCUGCCUCCCGUGACACAUCUCCCUCCUCCUGCAGCGCUCGGCGAAGCCCUGUCGGAAUCCCGCUACUUGCACCACCACGCCGUCGUGCUGCUGGAUCUCCAUCAACCUCUCCUCCCCCCUUGUUGGAUCAAGAAGGAGGAGACGUCGCUGCUCCGUACGUGUGUUGAACGCGGAGGUGCCGUCCGUUCGGCGCUCGGUCAUCGGUGAUUUGGAUCACGACGAGUACGACUCCAUCAACCCCGUUCACUUGAACGCUUCCGCUCGCGAUCUACAAGGGUAUGUAGAUGCACUCCUCUCUCUCGUUGCUAGAUGACUCCAUAGAUUGAUCUUGGUGAUGCGUAGAAAAUUUUAAAUUUCUGCUACGAUCCCCAACACGCCCCCACCCUCGUGGGCCCCUCGUUGCUCCCCUGAUCGACUUCUUUCGCCUAUAUAUGUCCAUAUACCCUAAAAACAUCGAGGGACAGAAUAGAUCGGGAGUUCCGCCGCCGCAAGCCUUUGUAGCCACCAAAAACCAAUCAGGACCCUGUUCCGGCACCCUGCCAGAGGGGGAUCCCUCACCGGUGGCCAUCUUCAUCAUCCCGGCGCUCUCCAUGACGAGGAGGGAGUAGUUCACCCUCGGGGCUGAGGGUAUGUACCAGUAGCUAUGUGUUUGAUCUCUCUCUCUCUCUCUCUCUCUCGUGUUCUUGAGGUGGUACGAUCUUGAUGUAUCGCGAGCUUUGCUAUUAUAGUUGGAUCUUAUGAUGUUUCUCCCCCUCUACUCUCUUGUAAUGGAUUGAGUUUUCCCUUUGAAGUUAUCUUAUCGGAUUGAGUCUUUAAGGAUUUGAGAACACUUGAUGUAUGUCUUGCAUGUGCUUAUCUGUGGUGACAAUGGGAUAUCACGUGAUUCCCUUGAUGUAUGUUUUGGUGAUCAACUUGCGAGUUCCGUAACCUCGUGAACUUAUGCAUAGGGGUUGGCACACGUUUUCGUCUUGACUCUCCGGUAGAAACUUUGGGGCACUCUUUGAAGUACUUUGUGUUGGUUUGAAUAGAUGAAUCUGAGAUUGUGUGAUGCAUAUCGUAUAAUCAUACCCACGGAUACUUGAGGUGACAUUGGAGUAUCUAGGUGACAUUAGGGUUUUGGUUGAUUUGUGUCUUAAGGUGUUAUUCUAGUAUGAACUCUAUGAUAGAUCGAACGGAAAGAAUAGCUUCAUGUUAUUUUACUACGGACUCUUGAAUAGAUCUAUCAGAAAGGAUAAUUUUGAGGUGGUUUCAUACCCUACCAUAAUCUCUUCGUUUGUUCCCCGCUAUUAGUGACUUUGGAGUGACUCUUUGUUGCAUGUUGAGGGAUAGUUAUAUGAUCCAAUUAUGUUAUUAUUGUUGAGAGAACUUGCACUAGUGAAAGUAUGAACCCUAGGCCUUGUUUACUAGCAUUGCAAUACCGUUUGUGCUCACUUUUAUCAUUAGUUACCAUGCUGUUUUUAUAUUUUCAGAUUACAUCUAUCAUCCAUAUUGCACUUGUAUCACCAUCUCUUCGCCGAACUAGUGCACCUAUACAAUUUACCAUUGUAUUGGGUGUGUUGGGGACACAAGAGACUCUUUGUUAUUUGGUUGCAGGGUUGUGUGAGAGAGACCAUCUUCAUCCUACGCCUCCCACGGAUUGAUAAACCUUAGGUCAUCCACUUGAGGGAAAUUUGCUACUGUCCUACAAACCUCUGCACUUGGAGGCCCAACAACGUCUACAAGAAGAAGGUUGCAUAGUAGACAUCAGGAAACAUUUCGAGUCAACACUCAAUCCUAAAGUAACUUAAAUUAGAUGACCUGUAGUCCUAGAGAGUUGAUACAAUGGCUAGCUUAGCAAAUUAAUCAUCUUUCCACCUUAUAGAAAGUAUAUACCGCAAAAUCUAAGGUUUUUUUUCUCUGAGUUAAACUAUUCCUGAAUACUCAAGGCUUCCUUAGCAACUGCCAGUUCUAUUUAUUCACAAGUAGUGCAAGAAAUAAAAUAUUCUAAGAGGCAACUGAAGGUUUCAGAUUAGCUAGCUUAUUCAGGACGGUUUACCUUAUCUUUGCAUGGCACGAAGUUGUGCUUGGUAGCUAUUAAGAUUCCUUGCUGACAAAUCAUGUUCAUCAGUAGCUGGAAUGUUUACAUUAUCACCCUGAUCAAUAUGCUCACUUAACUCAGACCAUAUCUUCUCAAUCUGUGAAUGAAUAUCGUAAUACUGCAUGAUCCUUUCUUCUAUCUUGCAUUUCAGUUCAUUGAGCACAUGAACGACAACAACAAGUUGUUCCUAGAGCAACACGUAGCUCUUGUCUUUUUGCGCAAGUGCUGAUAAAUUAACAAAAACAUCCUAGUAAAAAGAUUAAAGUAAGGUGGUAUUUCCUGGAGAUUUAGUACAAGUCGGUAGCUACUUUUGACCAAAAAAGCAAAUAGGCCGGCAUCGCCAAGCCCUAUUCCGUAAUAUAAGAGCGUUUUUGACACUACACUAGUAUAAUAAACGCUCUUAUAUUAUGGGACGGAGGGAGUAGCAAUCUACAACUUGAAUCAUGCAUGUUACCAACAACAGCCAGAUUCCAUCAUCUCGUGGGAGCCAAGCAACCACUCAGGAAGUCAAUAGACAACCAACCCAAUUAGUGAAUCAUCAUGAUGAUGAUUAGUAUGCAUACCUUGAUAUACAGCUUAUGCUCCCCUAGAGUUGCCACUAACAAUGCAACCUUAGCUUCUUUUAGUGGCCACAAACAGGUGCAGCUGAACCCUGGUCUGAUUGGCAUCGUCCACCUUCCUGCGGUACACCUCCAAGCAUUCUAUUUCUAUCUUUGACAUUCUGACAAGACCUUGCUCUUCUGAACCUCACUUUCCCCUACCUCUGGCCAGAUUCGCUGAGUGACAGAAACAAGAGGGCAUGAGUAAUCAACGAGGUUUCGUGUUUUACCUACACGUACACCAACAAUCUGGACAGAUGAGAGAGAUAGAGCUCACCUUGUUCUUUAGUCUUCGUCUUGUCUUCUUCAUUGGAUCUGCACACAUCUUAUUUAGAAAAAAUGUAAAUUGAGAAAUCGAAAUCAGAUUAUAAAAGAACCAUGCGGAAAUCAAGGGGCAAGAGUAGAGGAGAAAGAUAGAUGUGCAUCCAAGAUUGGGGAUGGGGCACGACGAUCGGAAAGCAACGGUAGGCAGUGAUGGCCGGCUCCAUUCCACCAUCAGCUGAGCGCUCCUUCCUAACAUCUCCCCUCCCCACUGUCGAUGUCAAAACCGGCGGAUCUCGAGUAGGGGGUCCCGAACUAUGCGUCUAAGGUCGAUGGUAACAGGAGAUGGGGGACAUGAUGUUUACCCAGGUUCGGGCCUUCUUGAUGGAGGUAAUACCCUACUUCCUGCUUAAUUGAUCUCGAUGAAUAUGAGGAUUACAAGAGUUGAUCUACCACGAGAUCGUAAUGGCUAAACCCUAGAAGUCUAGCCUGUAUGAUUAUGAUUGGUUCUACGGACUAAACCCUUCGGUUUAUAUAGACACUGGAGGGGCCUAGGGUUGUACAGAGUCGGUUUACAAAGGAAGGAAUCUACAUAUCCGAACGCUAAGCUUGCCAUCCACGCAAAGGAGAGUCCCAUUUGGACACGGGAAGAAGUCUUCUGUCUUGUAUCUUCGUAGCCCAUUAGUCCGGCCCAUGUCACAUAGUCCGGACGUCCGAGGACCCCUUAAUCCAGGACUCCCUCAGUAGCCCCCAAACCAGGCUUCAAUGACGAUGUAUCCGAUGCGCAGAUUGUCUUCGGCAUUGCAAGGCGGGUUCAUUCUCCGAUCACUUCAAAGUACCUGACUCGAAAAGCUGUACUCGGUCUGUGUUUUAAUCUCACACCCUUUGGCUUCCGUGCCUCCAUUGUUUCUGCUUCCACGUGUCGAGCGAAUACGAGAGGUUAAGGUACGUUUUGCACAUAACACCCUGGCCACAUAAGAAAGGCAUCUAUUUAAAGAGACUGGAUCUCAGAUCCCAUUCCACACCAAGCGGAAAAAUCCUUAGAGCCUGCUAGGAGAAACCAUUCCAACACGGCUAGCGUUCCCAGUUCUUCCUCCCGCCCCCACGGCUCCGAAAAAGGCGAUUGGGAAAGAUGUUCCGUUUCCCACGAUCAGCUGACUAAGCUUCAAACGCAGGGAUUUCUUCCCCCCGCGGAUCUAGUCCCUAUUCGGGCAGGAUUGACCUCCUUCGAUGGCAAAGCCUAGGCGGAAAAUUUCCCCAAUCCAACCAGGGGGGAACGAGUGUGCUUCGUUCCUUACUUGUUAAGAGGCGUCGGGUUUCCAAUCCACCCGUUCUUCCGAGGACUCCUGGAGUAUUACGGCCUCCAACUGCACAACCUCACACUGGCCUCAAUUCUUCAUAUCGCGGUUUUUUUGGCUCUUUGCGAGCUAUUCCUGGGCUGUGAGGCCCAUUUUGAGUUAUGGAGGAAGCUAUUCUGCCUCGUCCCUCGUCCCCAAAAGGGAUCCAUAUUCGAGGUGGGCGGCGCCGAAGUAUGGCGCAUAGCCGGGACCGGAUACCUGUCUGGCAGGCCGAAGAAGGCGUCCAAGGAGUGGCCCUCAGAAUGGUUCUACAUUGAGGACGUCGCUCUCCCCGACCCAGUCCGAAUGGGUCUUCCCGAAUUCUCCAGCGCUCCCUUGAAGAAACACCAAAGCUGGCGCCCUCGGAGCCUCGAGGAGGAGGAUAGUACGGAAGUCCAACAAUUGAUGGGCAAGAUAAGUAUACUCGCCCAGUCCGGACUCUCAAUAAUCGAGGUAAUGGCCACUUCCAUAGCGCGAGGUGUUCAGCCACUCCAACUCAGGGGCUCCCUAUGUGGCACUAUAACGGGGAAGAUGACGCCUCCCGCUGUGGACGAAAAGGUCCGGAUUCCCCUACCGCCCUGGCCACAAUAUUGGGUGACCUGUAUAAGGGGAGAAAGAGGAAUUCACUCGCCUUAAGUGCCAAGAGGGAUUCUCAAUGUAUAACCCCCCUAGCUGGGUGAGCCUUAAUCCCACAUCAUUACUCAAUCCCUUCCCCGAGUCAUGUUCAAUUGACAUUUACUCAUUUAUUCAUAACAGGAAUGGCAGAAGGUUACCGCGGGGAUCUAUAGCCCUGCUCCACAGCCGGAGGACCAUAACCGAGACCUUGAUCCUGGAUUCGAAGAGGAUUCGGACAUAUUUGUAGAGCUGGAGGAGGGAGUAUUCUACCAGGCGAGCUAUGACGGCACAGAAGUGGCCAUCAUGGCCGAUUAUCCCGGUCUCAUUCCUGCCUCGCAUGUAAGUAAUCAAGAGACAUCUCUUCUAAAAGAGCUUCCUCGUUACACCUCACCCACCGCACUGUCUCGUGCUCCAAAGGGGAGACGCUCGGCGCGCCAUGCUGCACCUGAGGUGACUCACAAGAGAGCGGCGCCUACGCCAGGCAGGCCUUCAAAGAGGAAGGCAAAUGAAAACACGGCCGAGCCUUCAUCACAGAGGUAUGGUAUUUUAAAUAUGCUCCCUGGCAGUCACAUCGAAUUGUGACAUUGUCCGUUGUGUCUUACCAGGAAGAGCGUCCGCCGGACUAUGUCCGGGGAUCCUGCCGGUCAUGCCUCCACCAGCCAGGUUCCAGACCCUGCCUUAAGGACAGAGGCUGACGCGGGAGUGACACCGGAUUGUCCUUCUGCACAGAAUUUGGAUGAUGUGUCCGUCACGAACUCUGAAGUGGAGAGCGCCAUGAAUCACCGGCGCCGGAGGGCCGCUCUUCGCAACCCGGAUUUUACAAAAGAGGCAUUCAAUGCCUUCAGCUCGGCUGAUGCAUAUAUUCGAGCUGCUCGGGAUGGGCUUACCAGAGCCACAAACCAGUAUUUGAAAGAUAUGCGGGUAAGUGCGCAUUGUACAGAUCUGGUGAUCAUAUACCAGUAGCCCCCGAGACUUGAAGCAGUUGAUACAACUGAUUUAAGGAUCAUUGUAUAACCAGGUACUCACGGAGAAGAACAACUUGCUGUCUCAAGAGCUGGAAAAGUGCCGGACCCAGCUAGCUGCGGCAACUGCCGAACUGGAGAAAUCCAAGGAGGCACCACCUGGUAAUGUUUCCCUCCAUCGAGAAAAAUGUGAUCAUAUACCAGUAAUAUUAAUACUGUUGUAUCUCUCAUUGUAGGAUCCUCAGAUCAACUGAAAGAGGAACUGAUCAUCGCGCAGGCGGGUGAACAAGAGGCCAAAAGGCAACUGGCCGCGGGCGAACAUGUGCUGAAACGGGUUAGGGAUGAUAAAAACAAGCUGCAGGAUUCCAACACCCUGCUGGGCGAAGAACUAAAAGAUGUGCGAGCCCAGCUAGCUGACGCCGUCAAGGAGAAUAGGAGGCCGCGAGGUGGCAUAUUCAGUAUGCUUUUGAACUUACCUUUAUGUAAUUCAGCGAAGAAAUGAGCUAACAGAUUUAUGUCUGCAGGUAUGCUGACUGGCCGCCCCGAAGAGGAAAUGUCCGGCUCUCAAGGCGACCUGCUGCAAGAGCUGUCCCAACUUCACGAGCGAGCUCGGCAAGCAAUGCGGAGUGUUGCCAAAGCUUUGUGGCCAUCCGCCUCUCCUCCAGGAAGUAUGGAGGAGCUGGUGAAGCUAUUCCAAGGAGCUCGGUGGCGCUUCCGAUUAUGGAAGAUAUCGGCCUGCCGAGAAGGUGCGCGAGAGGCGUGGGCCAUGAUAAAAACACGGUACACCAAGCUUGAUCCGAAUCCUAUGGCCCGGGUCGGGCCUCGGGGGUCAGAUGGAAACGAAAUUCCAGUUAGUCUGGUAUAUGACCAAGUAAAGAUAGCGGCCAAGUAUUCCUAACAGGAUUGUAAGCUAGAUAGCCUUUUAGAUGGCAUAGAGGAAGAAGUUUUUGAGUCCAAGUGACUAUGUACUUCAAUUGACAAAUUUGCCCCUAGCCGGAUUGUAAAACGAUUGUCAUGGCAGACCUUUUCGCUUCGACCUCUGGACCCAAAGGCGUGGAGUGUUUCCGAAUAUCGUAACGGUAAUGUAAACCGGGGUAUGCAUGGAAACCAGGCGUAGGGGUCAUAGUUGCUUGAACAGACAAGUUGUAUCCGGCUAGCUAUGUUAUAUUACAUGUUUGAUUGUAAGAAACAUCUUCCAGGGAGAAUAGUUCCGUUAAGGGUUCCUUUCCCUGGGUGAACAUGCGCUAGUAUGCAUGUCCGAACUGUGAUAAAAAAGUCACAGUAUACGUAACAUCCGGGGGCUCAUAGUGUAAUGAGUGUAAAACAUCUUUAGUCCGCUGACCAAAUAUUCCCUUAAGAAUGCUAGCUUUCGGCUUCACCCAGUCUGAGGUACUCGUCCGGAUGACCCGACUGUAACAAUCGUAGAGGUGCUCCCUUUAUGCCCUAGCCGAACAAAUGGGAACGUAGGGCAUAAGCACAGGAGCCAGGCAACCCAGCUUGGCAAAAACUUAAGUCAUAACGGUGCAUAUAAUGGCGAAGAAAAGGUACAUAUGAGAGAAAGGACACAUGUGUGGGGAGCUUGAUGCUCGCAAAAUAAUAAUAUUAAGCUUCUGUAAGAGAAGCCCCUAGGUAUUAUGAGCGUGUAUAUUUAAGGAUGUGUACGUCAUAGGUGUGCGGUUUAGCCGCACAAGAGCUUAAAGCUAGAAAAAAAGUUAAAGGGAGGAAAAGACGGACACAAAGGGAGAAGAAAACGAACAAAGAGUCCGGCUCUAGGCGUAGAAUCUUCGGAGUCUGGUGGCAUUCCACGAGUUCGGCUCUAGGCGAUUGUCCGAUGCAUCACGCAGGCGGUACGCUCCUCCAGUGAGAACUUCAUCUAUGAUGAAGGGACCCUCUAAUUUGGGCUUGAGUUUCUCCUUUUUCUUUUCUGGCAAGCGUAGAACGAGUUCACCAACAUUAUACGUUUUGGCCCGCACCUCUCUGCUUUGAUAUCUGCGAGCUUGUUGUUGAUAGAAUGCAGAACGGGCCUUUGUAACGUCACGCUCCUCCUCCAAGGCAUCUAAACUGUCCCGCCGAUCCAACUCGGCUUCUCUCUCUUCAUACAUGCGCACUCGAGGUGAGUCAUGAAUAAUGUUGCAGGGCAGAACGGCCUCUGCGCCGUACACCAUGAAGAAUGGUGUGUAUCCGGUAGUGCGAUUGGGCGUGGUCUGCAGUCCCCCAGAGUACGGAGUCGAGCUCCUCAACCCAGUGCUUGUCUGAUUCUUUCAACGACCGCACUAGUCUAGGUUUAAUGCCGCUCAUAAUAAGACCAUUAGCUCGUUUGACUUGACCGUUUGUUUGUGGGUGAUAGACCGAGGCGUAAUCGAGCUUAAUGCCCAAUUUAGCACAACAGGACUUCACUUCCUCGGCUGUGAAAUUGGAGCCGUUAUCGGUGAUGAUGCUGUGUAGGACACCAUAACAGUGCAUGACACCGGAUAUAAAGUCUAUCAGCGGUCCGGCUUCGGCCGUUUUCACUGGUUUGGCCUCUAUCCAUUUGGUGAAUUUAUCUACCAUGACUAGCAGAUAUUUUUUCUUAUCGCUUCCCCCUUUAAGGGGUCCGACCAUAUCAAGCCCCCAGACCGCAAAAGGCCAAGUAAUGGGGAUUGUUCGUAGAGCAGUAGGCGGCAUAUGGCUUUGAUUGGCGAAGAGCUGGCAUCCGACACAACGUUAGACCAGGUCCUGCGCAUCUGCUCGGGCCGUCGGCCAAAAGAAACCUGUAUGGAAGGCCUUACUUACAAGGGCCCGAGCUGCGGCGUGGUGACCGCCAAGACCAGCAUGGAUUUCGGCUAAGAGCUGCCGCCCCUCUUCUUCAGAGAUACAUCUUUGAAGGACUCCGGUGGUACUUUUCUUGUAGAGCUCUCCUUCGUGAACCUUGUAGGCUUUUGAGCGCCGAACAAUGCAGCGAGCCUCGUUCUGGUCCUCAGGGAGCUCUCGCCUAUUAAGGUAGGCCAAGAAGGGUUCGGUCCAUGGGGGCAAUUACUGCCAUUAUUAGAUGGGCCGAUGAUGUUAUUUCGGUGGCUGAGCCCUCGAUGAUAUCGGUAUUGUGUUCGGAAUCUGGGGGUAUAAUCGGAUCCGGAAUAGUUUUGCCACUCUCAUUCUGCCACACCACGGAUGGCUUGAAGAGCCUUUCCAAAAAGAUGUUAGGCGGGAUGGGGUCACGCUUGGCGCCCAUACGAGCAAGAACAUCGGCCGCUUGAUUGCUUUCCCGAGCCACAUGAUGAAACUCGAGUCCCUCGAACCGAGCUGAUAUUUUGAGUACGGCGUUACGAUAGGCCGCCAUCUUCGGAUCUUUGGCGUCGAAGUCCCCUUAUUUGGGAUAUUGCGAGAUUCGAAUCCCCGCGCACCUCCAGGCGUUGUAUGCCCAUGGAAGAAGCCAUCCGAAGACCGUGCAACAAGGCCUCGUAUUCGGCUGCAUUCUUGGAGUCUGUGUAUAUUAUUUGGAGUACGUACUGGACUAUGUCACUAGUAGGGGACAUUAAGACAAUGCCCGCUCCUAAGCCGACCAGCAUUUUAGAGCCAUCGAAGUGCAUGACCCAGUUGGAAUAUGUGCCGUAAUCUUUAGGGAGUUUGGCCUCUGUCCAUUCGACGACAAAGUCGGCCAAUACUUGGGAUUUAAUGGCUCGGCGCGGUUUGUUUGUUAUGUCGAAAGGGAGGAGCUCAAUGGCCCAUUUAGCAAUCCGGCCCGUAGCGUCGCGGUUGUUUAUUAUGUCAUUUAGUGGUACUUCGGAAGCCACCGUAAUAGAGCACUCUUGAAAGUAGUGCCGUAGCUUCCGGGAUGCCAUGAAGACCGCAUAUGCUAUCUUUUGGUAAUGGGGGUACCGGGAUUUGCAUGGUGUGAGGACAGUGGAUACGUAGUAUACCGGCUUCUGGAGUGGGAAUUUGUGUCCGUUCGCUUCUCGCUCAACGACGAGCACCGCGCUCACCACUUGGUGUGUUGCAGAGAUGUAUAAUAACAUUGGUUCACCGACUUUUGGCACGGCCAGAAUUGGGUUGCUCACUAAAAGAGCCUUUAUUUCCUCUAGUCCAGCCGUUGUCACAUCCGUCCACUUGAAGUGGUCGAUGCGUCGGAGAAGGCGAUAAAGUGGCAAUGCUGUUUCUCCUAAUCUGGAGAUAAAGCGGCUUAAAGCUGCCACGCAUCCGGCUAGUUUUUGGACCUGUUUAAGAUCCAUUGGUACAUCCAAUUGUGACAAAGCCCGGAUUUUGGCUGGAUUUGCCUCAAUUCCUCUAUUGGAAACGAUGAAGCCUAGCAGCUUUCCAGUGGGAACGCCGAGAACACACUUUUCCGGAUUGAGCUUGAUGUCAUAUGUGCGGAGGUUGUCGAAUGUGAGACGUAGGUCGUCUAUUAAUGACUCGACGUGCCUAGUCUUGAUGACCACGCCAUCCACGUAUGCUUCAACUGUCUUGCCGAUUUAUUUCUCCAGGCAUGUUUGAAUCAUGUGUUGGUAGGUGGCGCCGGCGUUUUUGAGCCCGAAGGGCAUAGUGUUGAAGAAGAAAGGCCUGUAUGGGGUAAUGAAUGCCAUUGCGGCUUGAUCGGACUCCUUCAUUUUGAUUUGAUGGUAUCUGGAGUAUGCGUCGAGGAAAUACAGUGAGUCGUGUCCUGCGGUAGCAUCGAUGAUUUGAUCGAUGCGGGGGAGGGGGAAGGGAUCCUUAGGGCAGGCCUUGUUGAGGUCUUUGAAAUCGACGCACAGGCGCCAGGAUUUAUCCUUCUUUGGCACCAUCACCAGGUUUGCUAGCCAGUCUGGGUGUUUUAUUUCUCUGAUGAAUCCGACCUCGAUUAACUUGGCUAGCUCCUCCCCCAUAGCUUGUCGUUUGGGUUCGGAAAAGCACCGCAGUGUUUGCUUGACCGGCUUAUAUCCCUUCAAUAUAUUGACGCUGUGUUCGGCCAGCCUGCGUGGGAUCCCUGGCAUAUCAGAAGGGUUCCAGGCGAAUAUGUCCCAGUUUUCACGUAGGAACGCUCGUAGUGCGGCGUCAACCAUUGGGUCCAGCUGCGCCCCGAUGGAAGCUGUCUUCUUGGGAUCUGUCGGGUGGACUUGAAAUUUGACUAUUUCGUCUACUGGUUUGAAAGAGGUGGAUUUGGGCUGCUUAUCAAGGAUGGCGUCGUCCCUAUCCACCGUGGAGUGUAGUGUGGUUAACUCUUCGGCCGCGAGGGCCUCGGACAGUGCCUCGAGGGCCAGGGAUGCGUUUUUGUUUCCGGCCCGGAGGGCUAUGUCCGGAUCACUGGCAAGAGUGAUAAUACCGUUGGGCCCGGGCAUCUUAGGCUUCAUAUACCCAUAAUGAGGUAUAGCUUGAAAGCGUGUGAAUGCGUCUCACCCCAAUAGGGCAUGGUAUCCAAUGUUAAAAGGGGCCACUUGAAAGGUUAUCUCUUCGGACCGAUAAUUCUCCGGCGUGCCGAAUACCACGUCGAGUGUGAUUUUCCCCGCGCAACGUGCUUCCCGGCUGGGAAUAAUCCCUCGGAAGGUCGUGUUGCUUUGCUCGAUGCGGCUGGCUAUUUCCAUUUUGUUGAGUGUAUCCUCGUAGAUGAGGUUUAGUCCACUGCCACCGUCCAUGAGCACUUCAGUAAGCCGAAAGCCAUCCACAAUUGGAUUGAAGACUAGGGCGGCUGGUGCCCGGACUGACCGGAAUUUUGGUUCGUCACUGGCAUUGAAAGUUAUGGCCGUGUCGUUCCAGGGGUUUAUUGCUGUGACUUGGCAGACUUCGGCGAGGUCGCGGAGUGCCCUCUUGCGCCGAUUGUUUGAAGCGAAAGUCUCGAAGGCCGUCAAUACUCUGAGGUCGUCGUCAUCCGGGGGACGUUGCUCUGAGGUGUUUUUGUCCGCUUUUGGCUACUUGCCGGAGUAUCCAACAUGCUCUAAGGCGGUGGGUUGGUUCGGUGUUCGGUGUCGUGUGUAUUUUGCAUGGCUUAUCGAGCCAUCCCUCCAGAAUGGUUCCGCGUCCCGUGAAGGGCUUAGUUUUCUUCAAUAUGGAGCCACGUGCCACACGAGGGUGCACCCUUUUCCCACGCCCGAGGGGUUAAGUGAAGACUGGUGGUUCCCAGCGAGCUAUCUGAGUUUUCCAGGCGCUCUCCAUUGCGCAGUACUUCUGUACUAUGGUCGCCAAGUCAGCGAAGUGUGAUACGCGACGGCGGUUUACGGUGUUGAGGAUUCCUUCGUCCGUGCAAUUAUUGCAGAAUACUGAAAUCGCGUCCUCGUCGCGGCAAUCUUUAAUCUUGUUUUUGACAAGGAGGAAUCUAGCCCAAAAGUGAUGGACUGUUUCCUGAGACUGCUGUCGAACGUGCAUGAGUUCGCACAUAUCCGGAGGACCGGAAUUACUUGGCGAAUAUUGCUCAUGGUGGGUGGGUGGCUUUAAAGACGAUCCCUGACCCAAUUUGGAGUCCAGAGUGUGAAAAGCUUCCGAGCUUAUUAGUUCGGGCUUCGGGACAUUAAAUGAUUUUCCAGGCUCAACGCCCGAUUUUAUGUUCGGAGGACUGGGAGUGUCGUCCCGCAGACAGGUAUCCGGCUCUUCGAGUUCGGAAAUCCGAACAUAGCUGGUCCUCAAUACCGGGGAAGAGUUGUUGUUUUGCUCCUCUACGACCGCUAUCUGAUGGGUGAUCGGCGGAGAUUUGAUUUCUCUCUGAUCGGGUUUAAGCCCAACCUGAUCAUAGUCUAUAGUGACCCCAAAGGCGGCGAUGCGAUCCAGGAGUUCGUUUAAAGACGACAACUCCGCCGGAUCCAUCUGUUUGGAGUAUUCGGCGCCAAUACGGAGACGAUUUUCGAUGACCUGAGAAGUCAACGUCGGCUUGAAGGCCGAACGGGCGAUCAUGGUAAAGUCGCCCAGCCGGAGAGUUUGGCCUAAGGUUAGGGCUCCUCCGGUGGUGAUACUGUCCUUGAUGACAAGGCGAGCCAUCAACCCUAUCUUCGACGUCACAAUGGAACUCUCAAUGAAAGCACCAAUGUCGGUGUCAAAACUGGUGGAUCUCGGGUAGGGGUCCCGAACUGUGCGUCUAAGGUCGAUGGUAACAGGAGACGGGGGACACGAUGUUACCCAGGAUCGGGCCGUCUUGAUGGAGGUAAUACCCUACUUCCUGCUUAAUUGAUCUUGAUGAAUAUGAGGAUUACAAGAGUUGAUCUACCACGAGAUCGUAAUGGCUAAACCCUAGAAGUCUAGCCUGUAUGAUUAUGAUUGGUUCUACGAACUAAACCCUCUGGUUUAUAUAGACACCGGAGGGGCCUAGGGUUGUACAGAGUCGGUUUACAAAGGAAGGAAUCUACAUAUCCGAAUGCUAAGCUUGCCAUCCACGCAAAGGAGAGUCCCAUCUGGACACCGGAAGAAGUCUUCUGUCUUGUAUCUUCGUAGCCUAUUAGUCCGGCCCAUGUCACAUAGUCCGGACGUCCGAGGACCCCUUAAUCCAGGACUCCCUCACCCACCCUCCCCUACUCCUCCACACCCACCAUGAUUCCUACGCCCGAUCCAGAAUCAUCGUGCAUCCAGAACGUGAGUAGGUGCCGCUUGCAGUUGCAGGGAAGAGAGAAAGAAGCAGAGAGAUGGUUCCUUCUAGCCGUUGUCCAGCGCUACCACACGAGCCGGUGGUGAGGCGGUGGCUGGCCGGCGUCACCCCUCCCUCCUCGAUCUCUCAUCCUCGCCAUCGUCGGCCAUCUCCUCCCCUACCACUGAACUCCUGCGCGGGGCAAGGAUGGGGGCUCCUCAAGGUGGCGGGAAGGACUUCGGGCGGGGCGGCUCUCACGCGAUUGAGAGAGUGGGGAUGGGGAGGCGGCGGCUACACGGGGAAGCAGGGGGAGUGGAGGGAGAAUAUCACAUGAUACCAUCAUUCAAGUGAUACCAUAAUACCAGUUUGAAAAAUUCAAUUUUAGAUGUGUCCAAAAAUUUCAAAAAUAUUUAUGAUUGUUCAUCACAUAUAUGUCUACAUCCCCUAAAAAAUUCAGAUCAAAAUGUGAAAUACACAAAGAGAAACAAAAAAGACAAAUCUAGAUGUGAAUAGUGUCGGUUUUGACACUAUUCAUCCUUUUGUCUUUAUUGACACUAUUCAUGUUGGAUUUCUCUUUUUUGUUUGUCUUUGAGUAUUUCGUAUUUUGAUCUGAAUUUUUAGGGGUUUUGGACACAUAUGUGAUGAACAUUCACAAUUUUUUUCAAAAUUUUUUGACACGUCUAAAAUUAAAAUUAUCAAACUGGUAUCAUUGUAGCACUUGAAUGAUGGUAUCAUGUGAUACUAGAUUAGGAUUGCACCUUGGCGCGAGGUGCCGGUCCCAACGUUUUGGUCAAGCGAUAAUGGCAAGUUUAAUUUGGGAUUUUAGUACUCAUUCGUUAUUUCAAAAAAAUGUUCACAAACUUGGAAGAUUUGCACACAACCACACUCCACUGAAGGCAAUGCACACAGCCACAGGAAAAUUUGCAGACCGACACCAGACAACAACCUUGGAAGAGAAAACUACAUGGCGGUUCUCGAUGGGAGGGGGAUCACCACGUCGUAGGUGGUGCGGCUUGCCGCGCGUUGCCUGCAAAUAGGCGGGCAAUCAUAUAUGAGAACUCCAACACAUGGAAGGGAAGAAAAGGAGGUCAUGUAAACAUUUGAAAGCUGCAUGGUGAGACAUUUCUUAGUAAAUAUUGUCUUUCAAAACAACCUGGUAAAAAAGCUAAGAUACGAGGGCAAUUUCUAUUUUUGUGAAGCUUCUCCUCUCAAAUGCAUAGGUAGAAAAAUAGAUCAACCUCAAUAUUUAAUAGAACUCAAUAGAACAACCAACAACUAAAUAUCUGCUUAUCAUAUAAUUACAAACUGGAAACUGGGAACAAACACAUCAUGCAAAAAUAUCUAGCACCUAAGAAAGGCACUUUGAUUUCACUGAAUUGCAACCACGAUAAGCACAGAGCCUCCUUUUUUCUAACUAGCCAUGUGAUUUGUUUAACCCUUAAAGUUAAGGGUUUUUUACAUCUGUGCCCCUGGUUACUUAGCUCUACUCAUUCAUCCCGCGCUCUUAACUUUUGCUCAAUUUUCCCCAUUCCCUUGCCAGAAACCCUCAUAACUGGGCACAAUGGACGUUGCCGUCGGGUCAAAGGCUUGACCGUUAACUCUGACUAGUGGGGCCAUGCUGGACUGUGUCAUCCGUUCGACCUGACAAGUGGGGCCACGUUGGGUGGUGUCGCUGUUCGACCGUUGGGCCGUGGUUUCGUUGGGCCCUCCGUUGCAUUAAACAUCUACGCACGCCGCCAGGACAGAAGCCUGCUAUGCAUGCACCCAGCAAACCCUGCCUGCAUGUGUCGAUCGAGCCUGCAUGCGCCGAUGCCACGAUCCCAUGAUGCGCCGACCGAGCCUGCAUGCGCCGAUGCGUCCGCCACGAUGCACUGACCGAGCAGCUUUUUGCACGCCAGCCGCCACGGAUGUAGCGACGGUCACUGCCGCUGGUUCCUCUCUUCUAGCUAGGUGGCUACAUAUAUGUGGCUUGUGUAAAAAAAGAGCCACUCCCUUGCUUCGUUGUACUCAUUCAUCCCUACUAACAAAGCUUGCUUGCAUGCACUAGGUGGUUACUAACAAGGGAACCCUACUAACAAGCCGAGCUCUCUAAGAAAAUAAUCAACAAAUAUGUAGUCCCAGUAUGUAGAUAGGGCCAACAAGCCCAUAGCACGAUCACAUAGUUAAAACUAGGAAGAACCUAAUAAUAGAAUAGAUAGAAAACUUAAUAAUAGAAUUUAAGAAAAGGGCCAACAAGCCCAAAGCAACUCCAACAUAGUUCAAUUACAACUUAACAUAACAUAGACUAAAAAAAGAUAGAGGGUUUAGAACCCUAGCCGUUGCCUUCUCCACCUCGCUCCUCCUCCGGGCGCCCUUUUCGCUGCUCCUUCGGGGCGUUGUCGAUGGGGUACGGAAGAGUGUGCAUGCGCGUCGCGGUGGGGAAGAUGUUGUUGUACUCCGUGAACCUGUUGUGGGUGGUGAAUGCGAUGAACUCGGAGCCACACCAAAACACCCGGCCGAGGAGGUAGAAGGCGUCGAAUGUGUUGGUGAAGUGGGCAAGGAGAGCAACCACCACCCAGUUUUGGAUGACCUCCUCGACGCGGAACAUCGUUGGAGAUCCCCUCGGGAGGUGGUGGUAGCCGGACACGAGGAGCAAUUCGACGGCCCAACCAGAGCUUGGUUUCCUUUUGGGCCCAAUAACAACAUUUUUUUUCACGGAGUCAGUGGUGGGCGAGCAGCCGAGCACAACCAAUAGGAUCGCCUCUCGCGGAUCGCCCCACGAUCCAACGAUGCGGAGCUGUCCUUGUGAUCCAACGGUGCGGAGCCUGCACACAGCCAGCCCACCUAGUUCCUUCUAGAAGGCCAGAUCUGAGGGCUGUUGCUUGGCGCGAGGGUAUGAUCGGACGGCUGACGUUGGGAGCUAGGGUUAGGUGAAAACCCCGCGGGGUUUAGAGGGGUUUUGAGAUGGUCAACGGGGUUUUGAAGGCUUUGACCGAGCAUAACUAAUUUAAAAAAAAAUCGAAAAAAUAUGAAACCUUCGCCGUUCGUCGUUUUAUAAGACAAACUAACGAGGAAAAAUACUAAACUUGGCUAUGGUCAUUUUGAUGAAGAAACCCUAGCUGGCAUGAUCGAGGUCAAAUGAGCACCAUUAAUUUAGAAAAAAUAAAAAAAAAUAAAACCUGCUCACAAUGUUGUCUUAUGUGACAUGUUACCAACCAAAAAUCAUAAACUUGCUCUAUGGUCAUUUUCAUGAGAAAACCUUCGCACAUAUGAGCUAUCAUGUAAAUGAUUUCAUAGAGUUCAAGGAGAGGAGGUGGUGUUACCUUCUGUUUUUGAAAAAUUCUAAAAAAAAAUCAAAAAAAUCACUAAAGCUUUAUUUUAAAGUGAAUAAGAAGGAUCUGAAGUUAGUUUUCCAUUUUCAUAUUUCAAAACAUGUUUUUAAUAGUUUUUAUAUUAAAGCAUAUGUUUUCAAAAGAAAAUGUAAAAAUAUGAUGAUUAAUUCAAAAAUAAUAAACUUGGCCUAUAGUUUUAUAUUAAUGUUGUCUUAUGUGACAUGUUACCAACCAAAAAUCAUAAACUUGUCCUAUGGUCAUUUUCAUGAGAAAACCUUCACACAUAUGAGCUCUCACUUACAAGAUUUCGUAGAUAUCUAAAUUUCUUUGACCUCCUCUAAAUCACCUCAAAUUUUGCGCACAUGAUCUCCUACACAAACAUAGAUAGUUGAUAAUACAUCUUCAUUAAAAUGUUGUUUCUUGCUCUGUUAUUGGAAUAUUUGAUAAAAGGGAACCCUUGAUAAAAUGAUGGAUUGCAGCAUAUUUGUCGCAUAUGUGUGAUCAUUGCAGCACCUGAACUUUCAAAACACUGAAACAAAUCAUAGCAGAUAAGUUUAAAAACACAAAAAUACCCAACAUAGAUAGCCACAUGCAUAUAAAAUUCAUCCAACACUACAGGAAACAGCUACUUUGCCGUCUGCCACGGCGGACGGCAAAGGCUCGAAAGGCGGACGGCAAAGACCUUUGCUGUCAGCCGCGGACGGCAAAAGGCUCCGGCAAAGAAGGCUACGGUAAACAGCUGCUUUGCCGUCUGCUUCCUGGCAGCGGACGGCAAAGGCUCUUUGCCGUCUGCGGCGGACGGCAAAGAGGGCGGACGGCAAUAAUUGCGCUGUCAGUCCGUUAAGUGGCUAACGGCAGACCUUUGCCGUCCGCCGCAGACGGCAAAAUUUCUCUGGUCUUUGCCGUCCGCCUUAUGAUGUCAUCUACACGUCACUAGAUGGCAGGUUCUUUGCCGUCUGCCACUGAUGGCAAAGUGCAGGUUCUUUGCCGUCUGCCACGGACGGCAAAGUCUUUGCCGUCUGCCACUGUAGGCAAACUGACCAAAUGGGUCAGCUCCCAGGAAGCACAGUUGGCUGCCACGUGGCUUCUUUGCCGUCCGCGGCAGACGGCAAAGAGCUCUUUGCCGUCGGUGGCAGAAGGCAAAGAGCUCUUUGCCGUCGGUGGCAGACGGCAAAGAGCCUGCAUAUUGUCUGUUUUUUCUGAUUUUUAUUAAAUCCCACAAUUUGCACAGAAAAUAUAUAAGUUUCAUAUCACAUAUCCAGCACAUAUCCAGCACAUAAGUUUCAUAUCACAUAUCACAUCAGUUUCAUCCAUACACAUUGUUCAUACAUAAGCAAGUUCCAUCCAUACACAUUGUUCCAUCCAUAUAUAUAUUAUAAUGCAAAGUUUCAUGAAGAUAGCAAGCUAGAUACAAUGCAAAGUUUCAUCAAAGGAAGAGCAAGCACUCCAUCAUAGCAAGCUAGCUUCCAUGAAGUGAAUGAAAUCUGCAAAAUGGUAAAUAAGAAAGUUAGAAAUAGGUGACUAGAACAAGAAGAAGACUAGAACAAGAAGUAUAUGUCAUAUAUGAGCUAACUUAGUUGAAAUGGAUCAUUUAUGAGCUAACUUAGUUGAAAUGGGUCGUUUAUGAGCUAACUAAGGUGAAGGGCAUCGUUUUUGAGAUAAGUAAGGUGAAAUGGGUCAUUUUGGAGCUAACCUAGGUGAAAUGGGUCAUUUUGGAGCUAACCUAGGUGAAAUGGGUCAUUUUAAAGCUAACGUAGGUAAAAUGGAUCAUUUAGGAGCUCAUCUACGUAAAAUGGGUCAUUUUAGAGCUAAUUUAGUUGAAAUGGAUCUUUCUGAGCUAACUUAGGUGAAAUGGAUCAUUUAAGAGCUAAUUUAGGUGAAAUGGAUCGUUUUUUAGCUCACUUAGGUGAAAUGGAUCGUUUAUGAGCUAAAUUAGUUGAAAUGGAUCGUUUAUGAGAUAACCUAGGUAAGAUGGGUCAUUUUGGAGUUAACCUAGGUGAAAUGGGCCAUUUUAAAGCUAACGUAGGUAAAAUGGAUCAUUUAGGAGCUAAUGUAGGUAAAAUGGGUCAUUUUUGAGCUAACUUGGAUGAACUGCAUCAUUUAUAAGCUAACCUAGGUAAAAUGGGUCAUUUUGGAGGAAAAUAAGCUAACUCUAGGUCAUUAUGGUAAGCAUAUUGGAGGAAAUAAAGCUAAGUCUAGGUCUUUAUGCAUUUGUUAAGCAAAACACUAGAGAAACUUACCGUGAUCAGGGAGGUGUAGGAGCGGGGUGGCUAGUGCCGUUACCUGGAGAAGGAUCGUGCGAUGCGUUUCUGGAGUUAAGCUGCACCAAAGAUCAUUUCCAAUGUCUCGUUAGCAUUACGACACUCAAAUGUUAAGACUACCAAGUAAUGUCCAUUCAAACUAAACUCACCGUGCUCCCAGGAGCAAUCACUGGCAUCGGCGGAGCGGGCUGACCGGACUUCUCGCACACAGACUGCACAUUUGGUUUUCAGAACAGAGUCAUACUAGUUAGUAAUGAGACUCAAAUGUUAAGACUAGCAAGUAAUCUGCAGAAGAAACUUACCACAAGGAGCUCGUACAUGGCCCUUGCCUGCAUGUCAUUCCGUGCCCUCUCCUCCUCCAUCAUCUUUCUCGUCCUCUCCUCCAUCUCCCGCUGCCUCUCCGCCGCCUCCGCCAGAAGUUUCUCCGUUCUAUCUCUCUCAGUCUGUAUAGCAGCCUGCAACACCACUCACAUGACCAUUUGUAAUCAUUGAUGGAAGCGCACACAAUGUAAUGGAGAAAGAUAACUGAGUACGUAUCACUAACCUUGAUGGCGAGUUGCACUGGCCGUUCACGAGGCCUUAUCUCAGGAGCGGAGCUCGAAUGGCGCGCCUUGAUCUCCGGGAGAGUGCUAGGACAACGGAUAAGUCCAUCUCCAAUGGCUAUGGAGCCAUGGGACCUCCCGCCACCAGAUAUCAUCACUAGCUCUGGAUCAAUGGGACCCUGGCUCAGGUUAAAGUCCUCCCCUUUCCUCGCCUUCCCCUCAUCUCUAUAUCUCAUGAGCUUGUUGUGGGAGGAGAUGUUGGUGAAGUUGUUUGCAUCAUCGAGGUCAGACUGAGAGAAAGCCUUGACUUUCUUGAAAGAGCCAGUGUGGGCCAUGGCAUACAGGUCGUACACCUCUGGCACCUUAUCCGCCUUAUUGUAGCGUGCCUGAAAGAGAGAAACAAUGAAAAUUAGUAAUUAAAGGGCUCAAGCUAGCAUGAUGAAUGAAUUGCAUGAAUCAUGAAGCAAACCACAUACCCAGUUGCGCCCGAACUGAUAUAAGUUGGAGCUGCCUUGAUGGUGUGGCACACCUUCCAUUUGGGCACGUUUGUCCUUGGCCUGGUUGUGGAGGGCUAGCCAUUCUUGUGAGCACCACUCAUCGACCAACACCUCCCAACAAUCCAUCCGAUCCGCACACCAUCUCGGAGGCGCCUAAGUUAGCAAAUAGAAACUUCAGCGCUACGGCUAAGAAUUACUAAAUGAAGGAACUUAAGUAGAAGGCCUUAAGAAUUACCUUCAUGUACUACUCCUUACUCAGGAACUUAUCGCGGCACGUCGGCUUGGUCUUCUUGAUACCACGCAAGGCAUAGUAGUCUCGAACAGCCUGCACCCGAGCCUCGUGCCGUAAGUUCUGGAGUAGGCGCUUGCAGACGUUCUGGAUAACAUUUGCGCUGUCCUCCUCGUAUCCCUCCUCACACCUGUAGAAUGUCUGCAAUCAAAUGAGACAAUAUUGAUUAGUACAAUUAAUAACUAGCUAGUUGAAGAUUUUGAAAUGUGUAAAGGAGAAAUUACCCAGAACGUCCUGAUCACCAUGUCUGCCCUCGUGUCGCACACGACACCGUCGAUAAUGACAUCCGGCGGGGCCGGGGCAGCCACGCAGUGCUCCCAGCUCAACCCAAGCUCUGGAAGCCGACCCUCACCAGGCAACGUGACAAACCCCGGGAAGUUUUGCCGGCAAAGAACUCCAAGGACGGAGUUGGGCCGGCGGACACUAUGAUGGUGGUCCCAACCCCUGCAGCAUGACAAGGCCAACGCAUUAGUUAUUUGAAGAAACGUGAAUGCAGAAGGUACAAAAAUAUUAAAUGCACUUACGUACCUCUCCUCAUCAGGGAAGAUCAACCACCUCUGCUCGCGGGUCGCCGGCACGGACGGGAGCCGUGUAGCACCACGCUGGUAGACGGUGCCACCCUCCUCCUCAAGAUCAGUCGGCUCCCCGCCAUCAUCAGCAUGGCCACUCGGCUCCUCGGGCUGAUCCGGCCAGGUACCCCAUCCGGACGUGUGCUCCUCCGGGGUCUCGUGGGCCGAACUCUCGUGGGCCGAAGGCCAGUCGACCCGAGGCUCGUGGGCCCAAGACCCGUGGACCGGAGGCUCGUGGACCGGAGUCCAUGUAGCCUCCUCCUCGGACGAGUCCACCCUAGCAGUCACGUGCUCGGGUGAAACAGCUGGGGGUGGCGGCGAGGAAGGCGCCCUAGCAGUCACCCUACCUCCUCUCCCGCGACCACGUGCCCUACCUCCUCUCUUCCUACCUCGUCCCCUGCUGGGCACCGCGGUCGACGAAGAAGGGCCCGGCGGUGUGGACAUACUGUCCAGCAACGCUCGGCGGAGAGGUACGUCUGGAAUCGAAGACCUCAGACCACGCGCCGAGGAAGAAGGGGCCUUGGCGCGCUCCCGACCAGCGCCCACCAUCUUUCAACACCUGCCAUGACAAACAGUAAACGAAAUUAGUACAACAUAAAAAAAAGACCGACAUGAAUAAUAAUAUGUGUAUCACUUAAGUGUAUCAUCAUCAAGUACAACAUUAAAAAAUUUAAUACUUGACACUACUAAUAAUCUCGAUCAGUAUCAUCAAUAAAUGCAUAAUCAUCAUCAUCACUAUAAUCAAUGACGGGCUCAUAGGGUUCAGUGGCAUCAACAUGUGCAAGGCCACCUUGACGUAAUCGGUCAAGCAAUGACAGGUCAUCUGCAGCAGUAACCUCUUCUUGUUCCGGCUCUUCUUGUUCCUCCUCUGGGGUGAUGUCGGAUUCACUAUCGCUGUCUACUUCAAUGUUUUGGGGUGAAGUAUAGCGGUUCUUGAAACGCUUUUUGGAAAGACGUGUCUCUUGGAAGAAUUCUCCUUCAUAUGUGUCUGGGUUAAUGUGAGGUUCAUAAUCCUCUUCCUUUGGGGGAGAUAGUCUAGCACGUGGCGGCACUUCAUAAACGACAUCCCAACCUUUUAGAUUUGGAUUAGUUUGGCAGGCCCACGGUAGAUAGAAUACUUGGGUCGCCUGUUGAGCCGUAAUAUAGACAUCAGGAACAUCUAAAUGGGUGCUUUGGUUGAUUUCAACUAGCCCUAUAUGUUCAUGAGUCCUUCUAGUCUCCUUUGGCUGAAACCAAUAACAUUUGAAGACUACGACAUUCGGUGGGUUUUCACCAUAGAAUAGAAGUUCAUAAAUUGCUUCAACUCUCCCAUAAUACUCGGUACCUCCUUCGUCGAUAGCAGAUACACAACAAUUUGUAGACUUUCGGUCGGCCAUAGAUAGCUCUUUGCCAUAGGUACGAAAGCGAUACCCGUUGAUGUCGUAUUUGUCAAAUGAACGGACCUUAUAGUCAAAACCAUUAGCGACUUGUCUCAAUUCGGCGUCCAUAGACUCUGAAUUAGCCUACAAGUUUAAUAUGAAAGGAUUGUUGCAUUACGCACAAAUUAGCAAAUGAAACCGGGAUAGCCGCCUACAAAUUAGCCUACAAGUCUAAUAGAAAUUACCGUUUGUUUGAACCAAGAGAUGAAACCGGGAUAGCCGCCUCCUUGCUUUGCGAGAAGCUCAUACUCUUCGACAGAAUCCUUUUGGAUCACCGCUCCAUACGAGAAUAAGGCGACGUAUCGACUGUAUGAAAUAUCCAGGAAUAAGAGCAGUUCAAAGGAAAUAGAAGUUGCGAAACUAUGUACCGAGAACUUACUCGAUGUACGGCCGCACUUCUAUCAGGUUGUUGAACAUAUACAACGAAAUGGUCCGCCAUUGUUCGUUAUCCAAAGAUACUGGAUUUGAAACACUGGCUGGUGCGAGAUUCCCUUUGAAUAGGCUGAGGCUGGAUCCACCCUUUUUAGGGUCGUCAGCAUUGUACCGAGGCUUCGGAUUAUGCAAAUGACGAUUUUUGGCUUCGUAGUGUGCUGUCACGAAGUUUGCCGCCUCCUCAGUGAUGAAUGCCUCAGCCAUCGAUGCUUCAAUUCUACGUUUAUUUUUACAUUUUUGUCGAAGCGUCUUCUGCAUCCUCUCAGUUGGGUAGCACCAACGAUUUUGCACGGGCCCCCCCAAUCUUGCCUCGGUCGGGAGAUGCAAAAUCAAAUGUUGCAUUGGAUUAAAGAAGCCCGGUGGAAAGAUCUUCUCUAACUUGCAGAUCAACUCCGGCGCCAACUCUUCCAUUUCUUCUAGCACGCCAGGCGAUAGUUCUUUCGCACAAAGAACACGGAAGAAAUAGCUGAGUUCUACCAGUACUAGCCAUUCAUCCUUAGGGAUGAAGCCACGCAACAUCACCGGCAUUACCCGCUCAAUCCAUAUGUGCCAAUCAUGACUCUUGAGACCAAAUAUCUUCAAUUUAUCAAGACUGGCUCCCCUCUGUAGAUUCGCUGCAUACCCAUCGGGGAACAUCAACUGCAUUUUCACCCACAAGAUAAUUUCCCUCAUAGCUGGCCUUCCAAGAUUGAACCAUGCCUUUGGCUUCGUCCAGUUCUGCUUUCCUUUCGGUUCUUUCAUGUUUUGUAACGGCCUAUCACAUAGCGCCUCCAGAUCGACUCUAGCCUUAGUAUUAUCCUUUGACUUCCCAUCUAUGCCGAACAAUGUACCAAAAAGUGCCUCGGCGAUAUUCUUCUCAGUGUGCAUCACGUCGAUGUUGUGUGGGCAAAGGAGGUCUUUGAAGUAAGGCAGAUCCCAUAAGCAUGUUUUGUGAGUCCAGGCGUGCUUAGAAUUAUACCCCUUGAAGUACCCUGGACGCUCUGGAUCUGGCUCGAGAGCGUUUAACUGAUCCAGGGUCUGUUGGCCUGUCAAUGCAUGUGGUGCAGAGUUUUUGACAACUCUACCUCUGAUGAAGUUCUUCUUGUCAUUCCUGAACUUAUGGCGAGGAUUCAGGAACUGUCUAUGCAUGUCGAAGCAAGAAAACUUGCGACCGGCCUGAAGCCAACGAAACUCAAGAGCUCCCUUGCAUGUGGGGCACGGGAACCUUCCAUGCACACACCAGCCAACGAAUAGCGCAUACGCCGGCAAGUCAUGCGUCGAGUACAUGUACCAGACACGCAUUAUGAAGUUCCGUUUGCUAUAGGCAUUGUAUGUCUUGAACCCAUUAUCCCAGGCUUCUUGCAAUUCGUCCUUAAGCGGUUGCAUGUACACAUUCAUAUUUUUCCCCGGAUAGUUGGGCCCUGGAAUUAUCAACGUCAGGAAAAUGUUCUUUCUUUGCAUAAUCUGUCCGGGGGGGAGAUUGAGUGGAAAGACAAAUACGGGCCAACAACUGUAUUGGGCUGCCGUCAUACCAAACACACUGAACCCAUCCGUGCUGAUGCCAACUCGAGGAUGCCUCGGAUCUGCCGCUUUGUCACCAUGUAAUUCAUCAAACUUUUUCCACGCAACACCAUCCGAUGUGUGUACAAUCAUCAGAUUCCCAUCUGCAUCUAGUUCGGUUCUUUUGCCCGUUUUGUGCCAUGUCAUCUGUCUGGCCAUCUCUUCGACCAUGAAAAGACGUUGAAGUCUUGGUACGAUUGGCAUAUACCGAAGAACACUAACGGGGAUUUUGGUCUGUGUCUUCUCACCCAUACCGUUGUCUACCACAACAUACCUGGAAGACUUGCAAAUGGGACAAUAGUUCAAGUCCGCAUAGUCAAGCCUAAACAAGACACAUCCUUUCUCACAGGCAUGUAUCUUAUCAUAGGGCAUCUUCAGUGCACGGAGGAUUUUGUCUGACUGGUACAGGUUUGCAGGCAUUACAUGGCCUUUGGGUAGAAAGCGUCCAAAUACUGUCAUCAUUGCAUCGUAGCAUUCUCUGCCCAAGUUGAACUGAGCCUUCAGAGCCAUUACUUGUGAGAUGGCAUCCAACUGACAAAGCUCAGUGUGCUCAUGGAGCGGACGUUUUGAAGACUCCAACAUUUCAUUGAAGGCCUUUGCAGAUUCCUCCAUCUCCUCGUCCGAAUCCCGAGCAUCAUCAAAGUCUUGCACCAUGUUUUCCAUCCCGGUACCAUGCUCGUCGGUGCGACGACGAUCCACCUUAGCUCGGUCACGUUGGGCAGACUCACCAUGAAAUGUCCACACCGUAUAAUCGGGCGUAAAACCACUCUUCUGCAGGUGUUUGCCCAUUUCAGCCUCUGUCCUCUUUUCCCAAUUGCUGCACCGUAAACAGGGGCACCAGGUUUUCCUCUGGCCAUUUGCAAAUGCGGCUCGCACAAACCCAUUGGUUUUUGUGAACCAUUCAGUGCUCCAUUUGUUCUGACCAGUGUGACCGGUGUACAUCCACGCACGAUCACUCAUCUUGACUUUCAGAGCUACUAGACACACAACAAAUAUAUAUAUAUAUAUAUAUAUAUAUAUAUAUAUAAUUCACCAUGUAUGUAUUCAUCAGUUGAUCUACUUUGUCAAUUUUAUUACGUCCAUGCAACCUACACUCUAAUAGGUAAUGAUAGGUCCUAAUCCCACCCGAGUAUGUUUAGAUUGGGUUCAUUUUCCCAUGCUAUGCCCCGGAUCCUACGCAAAAUUUCGGCAGCACCUCCCCGCUGUUCUCUUGAUACACGUCUCUGCAAUAAACAGAGAGGAUGUGUACCCGGAGAACAACAGGGGAGGCACUGACGAAAUUUAUGCGUCGGAUCCGGAGCAAAGCAUAUGGGAAAACGAACCCAAUCUAAACAUACUCGGGCUGUCCAUGGAUAGCGUUGGACAAUUCGAAAGAAUCAAGGUUAUAAAUAUGCAAAUGCAUGCAUAUUUAUAACUAUGACGCUUUCGAACGGGACACAUAUUGGUUACGCAUACUGAUGAUUCAAGACACAUAUAUAUCUAGCUAUCAAGUUUCAUCGGAAUAGAUCAAAUAAUUAAUGGGGGAGGAGGACAUGUCAUUUGUGCUCAACCACGAACGAAGGGGCAGAGCUCGUCAAACGCACGGCGAGGUCGUCGAACACCAAACCUCGCAGCGAUGAAACAACUGCACAUUUAAAACUACCCGAUCAACACAAUUAUAUAUGAUAUUUUUCAUAACAAAAUCGAAAGAUAUAUGACCUAACUAAUAAUUCACAAAUAUAUGACCCCGUCAGCUUCUGGAAGGCCAAAGAACACCUUUUCGGGAGGUGUCNNNNNNNNNNNNNNNNNNNNNNNNNNNNNNNNNNNNNNNNNNNNNNNNNNNNNNNNNNNNNNNNNNNNNNNNNNNNNNNNNNNNNNNNNNNNNNNNNNNNNNNNNNNNNNNNNNNNNNNNNNNNNNNNNNNNNNNNNNNNNNNNNNNNNNNNNNNNNNNNNNNNNNNNNNNNNNNNNNNNNNNNNNNNNNNNNNNNNNNNNNNNNNNNNNNNNNNNNNNNNNNNNNNNNNNNNNNNNNNNNNNNNNNNNNNNNNNNNNNNNNNNNNNNNNNNNNNNNNNNNNNNNNNNNNNNNNNNNNNNNNNNNNNNNNNNNNNNNNNNNNNNNNNNNNNNNNNNNNNNNNNNNNNNNNNNNNNNNNNNNNNNNNNNNNNNNNNNNNNNNNNNNNNNNNNNNNNNNNNNNNNNNNNNNNNNNNNNNNNNNNNNNNNNNNNNNNNNNNNNNNNNNNNNNNNNNNNNNNNNNNNNNNNNNNNNNNNNNNNNNNNNNNNNNNNNNNNNNNNNNNNNNNNNNNNNNNNNNNNNNNNNNNNNNNNNNNNNNNNNNNNNNNNNNNNNNNNNNNNNNNNNNNNNNNNNNNNNNNNNNNNNNNNNNNNNNNNNNNNNNNNNNNNNNNNNNNNNNNNNNNNNNNNNNNNNNNNNNNNNNNNNNNNNNNNNNNNNNNNNNNNNNNNNNNNNNNNNNNNNNNNNNNNNNNNNNNNNNNNNNNNNNNNNNNNNNNNNNNNNNNNNNNNNNNNNNNNNNNNNNNNNNNNNNNNNNNNNNNNNNNNNNNNNNNNNNNNNNNNNNNNNNNNNNNNNNNNNNNNNNNNNNNNNNNNNNNNNNNNNNNNNNNNNNNNNNNNNNNNNNNNNNNNNNNNNNNNNNNNNNNNNNNNNNNNNNNNNNNNNNNNNNNNNNNNNNNNNNNNNNNNNNNNNNNNNNNNNNNNNNNNNNNNNNNNNNNNNNNNNNNNNNNNNNNNNNNNNNNNNNNNNNNNNNNNNNNNNNNNNNNNNNNNNNNNNNNNNNNNNNNNNNNNNNNNNNNNNNNNNNNNNNNNNNNNNNNNNNNNNNNNNNNNNNNNNNNNNNNNNNNNNNNNNNNNNNNNNNNNNNNNNNNNNNNNNNNNNNNNNNNNNNNNNNNNNNNNNNNNNNNNNNNNNNNNNNNNNNNNNNNNNNNNNNNNNNNNNNNNNNNNNNNNNNNNNNNNNNNNNNNNNNNNNNNNNNNNNNNNNNNNNNNNNNNNNNNNNNNNNGAAGGGCGAGGCGACGACGAAGUGAGUAACGGGCGGGGGGUACCUGCCGUUAGGCAAGUGCCCUCUUUGCCGUCCGCCAGCCUUUGCCGUCCGCCUUUCUGCGUCUUUGCCAUCCGCUAGCGGACGGCAAAGAGGUGGGCCGUUAGGAUUUUUUCAAACGAUCGGGGGGUGGGGGCCACCACACUCUUUGCCGUCUGCCAGCGGACGGCAAAGACGGGAAAGAGCUGGCAGAUGGCAAAGAGCUUCUUUGCCGUCAGCCUUUUCUUUGCCAUCUGCUUAUGUUUAGCUGAUGGCAAAGAGCUUCUUUGCCGUCAGCUAGCAGACGGCAAAGAGCUGGCAGAUGGCAAAUUAGCUGAUUCCAGUAGUGCAACCACCAAAAGGUAAUCCACAUCCUGUUCACAAACAUAGUUCACCCACAUAGUUCAGCAAACAACCUAAAGUACUUAAAACACAUCAUAGCAUCAUAACAUCAGGGAAGGGGGAGAGACAUGACUUUGGCUAGGGCAGCAUGCUGCCCCAUGAUCUUGUAGUCCUCGCCGUGGAUGGCCACAUCUUCUGCAUGAGCUAGAAGGUGAACGAAGCGGCCGGACUUUGGCUUUGGCUUGGUGGUGCAGUAGGGGCAGCGCCAAGUUUUGGUCUUGCUCUUGUAGUAGUAAUCCACGCCCUUGAUCCCGAUCUUCUCCUCUUCCUGCUCUUUGAAGGAGGCGAAGUUGCUGCGGUCCACAUCCACAUCUUCCCCAGAGACAUACUGCACACACCAAUGAAUUACAUUAGUACAUUAUAGAUUCAUGGGAAUACACCAUGUCAAACGAACUAAAUGAACAAUCUAAAUUUCAAGUAGGCUUACCUCAUACUCUUCGUCGUCAUCAUACGCUGGAUCAUACGGGUCGUCGAAAGUAUAGUCUAUCUUCCUCCUCUUCCCCCUACCAUCAUCCUCCUGAAUAUCCAAUUACAUCCAUCACUAGUAAAUACAUAAGCCAAUUGAAAAUUUAGAUAUGCACAGAUGACACACUGAUCAUAGGGCUAAUAUACUAUGAUCCUAUUUGCAUUUUCCAUUGUCAUGCACACACAUUGAACAAAAGAGCUAAUAUAACUACUUAUUGAAAUUUAGAUAUGCACACUUGAUCAUAGGGCUAAUAUAGUAUGAUCCUAUUUGCAUUUUCCAUUGUCAUGCACACACAUUGAACAACAGAGCUAUAUAACUACAUAUUGUGGACAUAUUGUGAACAACAGAGCUAAUAUAACUUGAAACAAAUAACUUGAGUAGCAUUAAAAACCCCAAUCUGUGAGCACUAAAAACAAAUCUAAUAAGCAUCAUAGCAUUAAAAUCACCAAUCUGUUCACAACAUCUAGCAUUUUUGCAACAAAGUUAUCCAAAUCUAAAAACAAAUAUGAAUACCCCAAUCAUUGCAGCACCUAAAAUCAUAGUUCACAACACCUAGCUAGCAUUUUUGCAACCAAUUUAUCCAACAAACCGUGACGCCCGGAUAAUUAAGCUAUAGUAAUUCCUUGUUAAUGAUGGCACGUCACCACAAUUACUAUUGUUGAUCUCGUGUUAGUUCGAAACCAAUUCAAAUUCAAAUUUGAAUUAAAGGCAAACAUCAAAGUUUUCAAACAUUAAAAAUAAAAUGUUCCGGUUGUGCCAAAUAAUGCAUAGGUAAUCAUGGUGGAGAAACCACACUUUUAUAGGAUGCUUAAAUACUCUAAGAUGAAUUAAACAGUAGCGAGAACUAUUAUUUACAUACUUUUAAAUAAUAAUUAAUUAUGAAACUAUUUUACUUUGGGUAGCGAAAUAAAUGUGGCAGUGGCAUAAUUGGUGACAUCAAUUUAGGUGCCACUUUGUAUAUUGUUAACACUAGAAUAAACAGCAACUAAAAGAAACAGAAAAGAAAUAAAGUAAAUAAAAGAGAAAAGAAAACAAAAUUGAACAGAAGACCCCCCUUUUUGCUGGGCCUCGGCCCAGCCGACCACCCCGCUCCCCUGGCCUACUAAGGCCCCGCUAACCCCCCGACCGUAACCUAAUCCCACCCCCACGAUCCCCACUCCUCACACGCCUCUCCUCCUUGCCCGUUCUGGAUCUGGGCGGAGCGCCUGACCCCGACGUCCCUCGUCCCACCGCGGCCACCAUGCGCCCCGCCACCUAGGAGCUCGUUGCACGCCUUGUCGUCGACCACUUCCUCGCCCCCGACCACGCGUAGNNNNNNNNNNNNNNNNNNNNNNNNNNNNNNNNNNNNNNNNNNNNNNNNNNNNNNNNNNNNNNNNNNNNNNNNNNNNNNNNNNNNNNNNNNNNNNNNNNNNNNNNNNNNNNNNNNNNNNNNNNNNNNNNNNNNNNNNNNNNNNNNNNNNNNNNNNNNNNNNNNNNNNNNNNNNNNNNNNNNNNNNNNNNNNNNNNNNNNNNNNNNNNNNNNNNNNNNNNNNNNNNNNNNNNNNNNNNNNNNNNNNNNNNNNNNNNNNNNNNNNNNNNNNNNNNNNNNNNNNNNNNNNNNNNNNNNNNNNNNNNNNNNNNNNNNNNNNNNNNNNNNNNNNNNNNNNNNNNNNNNNNNNNNGCGUAGGAGCCAGGACGCCCCCACGCCCCCACCCCGUGCUAGGCUUCCUGCUCGGGCCGCCGCACGCCGCUACCGACUCCGGCCACCCCGAGCCUCCCUCGAGCCUGCUGCCAUGCCCUACGGCUCCACUGUGAGCUCCGCCGCCAAAUCCCUCUCUCCCCCGUGCUCGAUUCUGCUGCCUAGCUAUCAUCCCGUUGAGCAGCGAGCUCCGACCGCCGCCAUGGUCGACGAGCACCACGCUCCCGAACCCCCCUGCUCAUACAUGCUACGCCAACACGUUCAUGGAGCUCCGUAGAGGCCGCCUGUGCCGUUUGUUCGGUCAACUUCCUCGCGUAGCCCGCUUCUGCUGAGCUCCCGCUCCGGCCGUCGCCUCAGUGCAUCGCCGUCGCCGUUCCCGACCAUCUCCGGUCGAGGUAGAGCCCCCGUUCGACGCGCACUGCUGCGUGCGUUCGAACGCAUCUGGCUGCAUCCAAAAUGGUGCCCGAUACGCAUUUUCCGACGCGCUCCGGCGUGUCGCCGCAGUCGGUUUGGUCACCGGCGCGCCGGCCGUUCGACGCCCCGUGGGCCACCGACAAGUGGACCCUGCUUAGAUUAAUCACUAACCCCCCACUAACGUGUGGGCCCUUGCCUCUAAUUAGGUUAGUUAAAAAUAAUAAACACUGUUAUUAGAGUAGUCACUGAAAACCUGGCCCACAUACUAAUUUGUUUAAUUUAUUAAUUUAGAACAUGUUAUUAUAAACAGUCACUGACUACUGGGUCCCACUGGACCCAGUUGGCUAGUUAACUCUGCUGACUGGGCACUCCCAGUCAGUGACAGGUGGGACCCCCUAGGCCCCUUUGACUUCGUUGACCAGUCAACUGGUCAACAGUUGACUGGCUAACUCAGCCCCUGGCCCCACAUGGUAGUCUUAGUAGCACAUGUGUGGGUACACUUCUGUGUACCCGUAGUAAUUAUACUUUUAUUUUUGAUUUAAAUUAAAUUCAGAAAAUGUAUAAAAUUUGAAAAUUAAUAUAAAUAAUCCGUAACUCGGAUGAAAAUACUUUGCACAUGAAAGUUGCUCAGAACGACGAGACGAAUCCGGAUCCGCAGCCCAUUCGUCGGCCACACAUCGUUAGCAUAGCAAACACGCAACUUUCCCACUCCGGUUCAUCUGUCCGAAAACGGGAAACACCGGGAAUACUUACCCGGAUGUUUCCCCCCUUCGCUGGUAUCACCUACUACCGCGUUAGGGCACACCUAGCACCGUUCAUUGUCAUGUCAUGCAUUGUCAUGCAUAUGUUUGCAUUAUAUUUAUUGUUUCUCCCGCUCUUCCCUCGCUAGACAUCGAGGCCGACACUGCUGCUAUCCAGUACGACUACAGUGUUGACGACCCCUCCUUCGUGCCAGAGCAACCAGGAAGCCCCCCCCUUGAUCACCAGAUAUCGCCUAUUCCUUCUCUCUACUGCUUGCAUUAGAGUAGUGUAGCAUGUUACUGCUUUCGGUUAAUCCUAUUCUGCUGCAUAGCCUGACAAUGUUGCUACAGUUGUUACCCUUACCUGCAAUCCUAAAUGCUUAGUAUAGGAUGCUAGUAUUCCAUUAGUGGCCCUACAUUCUUGUCCGUCUGCCAUGCUAUACUAUCGGGCCGUGAUCACUCGGGAGGUGAUCGCGGGUAUAUACUUGCAUACAUAUUAUACAUGAUACAUGUGGUGACUAAAGUCGGGUCGGCUCGUAGAGUACCCGCAAGUGGUUUGGAUGAGGGGGCUGAAAGGACAGGUGGUUCCAUCCCGGUAGAGGUGGGCCUUGGUUCCCAACGGCUCCCGUCUGUUACUUUGUGGCAGAGCGACAUGGCAGGUUCAGACCACCUAUGUGAGAGGUGGGCCUGGCCCUGGUCGGCGUCCGCGGUUACUUCAAAAUAACACGCUUAACGAGAUCUUGGUAUUUGAUCUGAGUCUGGCCACUGGCCUAUACGCACUAACCAACUACGCGGGAACAGUUAUGGGCACUCGACGUCGUGGCAUCAGCCGAAGCCUUCUUGACAUCAGCGACUGAGCGCCGCGCGCCGGGUUGGACUGGAACGCCUGCUCUUGUAUUAGGGAGGCUAGGUCUGCUUCUGGCCGCGUUUGCAACGUGCAGGUGUGCAAUGGGCGAUGGGCCCAGAUCCCUGCGCCAUAGGAUUUAGACCGACGUGCUGACCUCUCUGUUGUGCCUAGGUAGGGCUGUGACGUGUUGAUCUUCCGAGGCCGGGCAUGACCCAGGAAAGUGUGUCCGGCCAAAGGGGAUCGAGCGUGUCGGGUAAUGUGGUGCACCCCUGUAGGGAAGUUUGUCUAUUCGAAUAGCCGCGAUCUUCAGUAACAGGACGACUUGGAGUUGUACCUUGGCCUUAUGACAAUUAGAACCGGAUACUUAAUAAAACACACCCUUCCAAGUGCCAGAUAUAACCCAGUGAUCGCUCUCACACAGGGCGAUGAGGAGAGGAUCGCCGGGUAGGAUUAUGCUAUGCGAUGAUACUUGGUGAACUUACCAUCUAAUCUCUUCUACAUGCUGCAAGAUGGAGGUUGCCAGAAGCGUAGUCUUCGACAUGACUAGCUAUCCCCCUCUUAUUCUCGCAUUCUGCAGUUCAGUCCACCGAUAUUGCCCCUUUACAUAGAUACCCAUGCAUAUGUAGUGUAGAUCCUUGCUUGCGAGUACUUUGGAUGAGUACUCACGGUUGCUUUCCUCCCCUUUUUUCCCUUCCUUUCUUCCUGGUUGUCGCAACCAGAUGGUGGAGCCCAGGAGCCAGACGCCACUGUCGACGACGACUCCUACGACACCGGAGGUGCCUACUACUACGUGCAGGCCGCUGACGACGACCAGGAGUAGUUUAGGAGGAUCCCAGGCAGGAGGCCUGCGCCUCUUUCGAUCUGUAUCCCAAUUUGUGCUAGCCUUCUUAAGGCAAACUUGUUUAACUUAUGUCUAUACUCAGAUAUUGUUGUUUCCGCUAACUCGUCUAUGAUCGAGCAAUUGUAUUCGAUCCCUCGAGGCCCCUGGCUUGUAUUAUGAUGCUUGUAUGACUUAUUUUAUUUUUAGAGUUGUGUUGUGAUAUCUUCCCGUGAGUCCCUGAUCUUGAUCGUACACGUUUGCGUGUAUGAUUAGUGUACGAUUGAAUCGGGGGCGUCACAAGUUGGUAUCAGAGCCGACUGCCUGUAGGAAUCGCCCUUCCACACUCAUUGGCCGAAGUUGAGUCUAGACAUUGAAAAACUUUUACUAACAUGGCUAUGCGACUUGCGGGCCCACGUCGCCAUUGGGUGGUAUUAGGAUCUUUUACUCCUCGUCUAUACUCUGGGACUCUGAUCUCUCUUCUAUUCGGGUUAAAUGAUUUUACUAACGCCGACUCUAGGUCCUCGUAACUACUUCCACCCGGAGAGCCCCUAAAUACAAAUGAUCGCCUGCUGCACUAGAAGAUUCCGAAAAUACUCUACGAUGUUCUCUCGAGACUUUGCGCCAUCACUUUUGCUAUUCCCGACCACCGAUUAAUCCUUAUGGAUAUCUGCUUACACUUGUCGUUCAUACCUUCGUUCCCAGAUGCCCCUGUUAUUACUUGAUACCCUGAAAAAUUCUCCGAUAUUUCGAGAAUCCUUUGUGCCCACCGCUUUGCAGCUCUUUUCCGCAUUAAUACCCCUACGGAUAAUUCCUCGCACAUAGAAGUAUCCGCCCAUCACUAAGUUGUUCAUGUGUUUCACAAGGAUCUUCAAAAAUACUAUUUGAUCUCCCGAAAAUCCUAAAGCAGCUUAUUGCUCUUGAAAUACUUGCUUGCUUGCAUUAUGGUUAAUCCCAUAAGUAUAGUAAUCUUAUUGGCAUCGUUUGUCACUAUCAUUUUGAGUCCAUUGAUACAAUAUGUUGCGAAUGCUCGCAAUCCUUAAACAGAUCCUAGAAUUCAUCCUUCUGGCUCAGACGUCAUUUUAACAUGUGCUUGAUUUCGACCAAUCAUAUCGCCAUCGAUUGUACCCCUAAGGCUAUUCUAACUAUCCAUCCCUAAUCAGAGCAGUGCUUCUGAUCCCUUGUCUUGGAAUUCAUAAUUCCUUUGCAAUUGAGCUUUGAGUUAGUCAGUUGUUUCUAUAAUCUGACCUCCUUGCAUUCUUUCUUCCUCUGGUUGAGUACCGAUGCUCAUAUCAGAUCCCUUGUGGACCACCAGACCCUUUUGUCAGAUUUUAUCCGACAACGUCCUUCAUAUUCAAUAAGCUUGUGAGCCAUUCCUCGAAUACAUAAUGCCUAUGGUAAAUUGUAUCCUCUGCUUUCUCAAGCAUGCUCUAUUAUCGAGUUUGUGUUAUUUAUUCUUGAAAUUUGUGGUAUAUGCUCCUAAGAUGCCCCGAUGUGUUGAACCUAUGCCUUCCUUAAUCUAUGUGAACCCGAAAGAUUUCAUGGGUCAUACUUAUCUGGUAUUGCACCAGGUAAAACUUUCAACAACUAAUGCCAUUUUCGAAAAGCGAGAGGUGAAUGAAAGGUUAUACAUUGAAGAAGUGGGAGUCGACCUUGAACUUGUGUUCAUGCCCAUGGACCCGAUGUGGAACUUAUCAUGGAAGCUUCUUGCAAAAUAUUUAAUCAUUUGGGUAAUUCUUUCGGUGUCAUUAAAUUGGAUCCCUGCAGCUAUGGUUCCGACCAUAUUAUUCUCCUUUGAUCCCAUUUCUCGGACAAGUUGAAGUACUUGUCUUCUGCAGGUCAAUACAUCUAUCCAACCUCUAUUCUGCUCUGCCUUCGAGUAUACCCUUAGGUAUCUCGAGAAUAUCACGGAACUACAUAACUUCUUAUGAGUUCUUCAUCAACUAUUAUUCUCGCCGAUUCCAGUGCCCCCCGGGUUAUGAGUUAAUAGUCACUCGAGAACACCGAUAAGUGAAUCGAUUCAGCACACCGAUUCAAUAACAAGUAAUUUUCGUGGCUUAUGAGUUUAAUAAUCCUUCAAGUCAUUCCUAGCCUGAUUGGCUAUAUCAUUAUCGUCCUAAAUUUUAACUGUGCCACCCAUUCCUUAUUACCGGAGCACAUCUUUCGACAAUAAGCUAAGCUUACGUCGAUUUCCUCGUCUUAUCGUUUCACCUCGAACCACAAACUGGAUUCUGAGUUUGUGUCGUACCCAUGGUUCCAAUAACCCUUCGCUUCAUUAUUCCUUUGGCCUGAUGUCGUCGCUGAUUGAUUACAUCUUCAUGAAAUCUCUCGACAAAUGUGUUGUGAUCAUCAUCAACAUUCCGAGGUCUUCCAAGAUAUCUAUCGAAUUCUUGAUGAGAAAUACCAUCCUUUGGCCUCGAUGAUUUGUGUUCUCAUCAACCACUUUAUUGCCUUCCGUUCAACACAAACUUGUCCGUGUUUUGUGUUAUACUUUGAGUUCCUUUCUGUCCAGCAAUUGUUCUUCUUUACCUUGGAGUAUUACCAUCUUUUAUGUCAGGAAUGUCGUGAAAAUUUCACCACCUCUUGAGAAUUCUUGAUACAAGUGAUACUUUUCACCAUCACAAUUCCUUCUUGGUCCCCGUGUUGUUUAAUACCGGAAUGCCGACAAAUGGACUAUGAUGGGUGAAUUCAAAACUUCUAGCAACCCUAUUGCUUGUAAGUUACAAAUGAUAGUUUCUUUCUUCAUAUGUUGGUUAUUGACUCAUCAUCCUAACAUUGAUCGGGCUACUUAGUCCAUGUUUUGUUAUGCACUUUUCGAUCAAUGUUUAUUUGCGAAUGUUUCCCUCGGGCAUACAUCAUUAUAUCAUUUGAUCUGACAAAUGUUAUCUCCUUGUUCACAUGAUUGAGGAAAUCCAUCUUUUUGGAAGUCUCAAUGAAUUUUCGCCAAGUCCAUCAGCCACCUCCUCACCCUCUCCUUGGUUUAAUGAUGAACUCUUGUUUCGGAACUUGCUUCCAUAGUUCAUUUCCGAGAAUCUUGAAACGCCUGCUCAUCAAUUUGUGUUGCACCCUUUCCUUCCCAGACAUCCUGAGUUUGAGGUAUCCUAACACCAAUCAGAUCUGAAUCUCGGUCAGAUAAGAUGGUUGGAACAUAUUUCCAAGACUUAUAAACAUUGGUCAUUAUAUGGCCCGGUAAGGUGAUAUCAUGCCUAGCACACCUGGCUGGAUGACCCAUUGUUAUAGUUCUUCCUUUUUUAGCAAGGUUAUCCAUUCUUCCGUGAGGAAAUUGUAAGACUUACUCCACAAGUUGUUCCUGAUGGAUCCUUCAUGUAUCCAGAGUUUGAACUUUGCUUGAAGACCAUGUCAAUGCUAUCUCGAAGCAUCUCUCUGGUACUCUGAUUUUACAAUAAGCACAUUUGUAGCACAAUGCUAAAUGUUUCUUGAUCAAUUAUCCACACACCAUUGUAUGGGUAAUGUCAUGAAAUUUCUCUCCCCUUUCCUGAAGGGUUUUCUACUUUAUAUACUGCCAUGGAUAUCAUGCUUUGCUUGUCCUUGGGAAGGGUAUACCCCUGGUAUAUGUGUCAAACACAUUUUCCUUUCCAUGUUUCUGUUUGAUCUGAUGAUCACAUUUUCCUUUCCAUUGAUUUGUUUAACCUUCCUUGUGAUCCAUAUGAUCUAAGCAGUAAUGUUCUUCUGCUUAUGUAAAUACCUUGGUGUACAGCCGUGUCAGUAAGACCGUGUUGCAUUUGUCGAUAGCAUUCUGGUAAGCACGAUGGACGAGAACCUUGCCUAUUGGUCCGCCUCGUUUAACGAGCAGAAAAUUGUUCUCUUCGUCCCUCGCCCUUGGUAUCGAUGUUGUUGCCGACAUAACUGAUAGGCACCCUCUGACAUGCCUUGCUAUCGUGACCGUGCAAGAUGUCAGCCCCCUUUCAACUUUAAACCACAUGGUGGGCCCAUAACCCACAGUUCCACAAGAUCGAAACCUGACUCUCAUAUACACCCCCGAUUUCGAAAGCUAUUCCUCGCGCAUGGCCUCGUAUGUAAUUCACGAGCCACCUUCCGAGAGAUCAUCAAUUCUGGUAUCAGACACAAUACUUAUUCCCGUUGCUUUGAACACCUUUCACGCCCCAUUUCAGGCAUCGAACGAUUACCUUCCCGCUUGAAACUUCCCAUGAUACCUUCUUACUUUGCUCUCAAUAUUUUCUUAAGUUUCAAUUCGAGAGUUACUUUUCUCCACCUUCCCCGAUGUUAUCGACCAGAUAGUCAACCUUGCAGAGGUCUGUUCCCCUGGAAUGCCCACCCUUUAUUCUUUCGUAAGUACAAUGGAGUUCCCGAAGAAAGGAUGUUGACCGCAUCAUGAUGACCUGAAGCAGAGAAAUGAAGACAUCAACGUAAUGGAUCGACCUCUUCGAGAAGAGCAACCAAGACCAAGAAGAUUCGUUAGAAUUUCGUAACCGGAUCUUUCCCCCUUACUCCACCUCUUAAAAUCUCGGGACGAGAUUUCUUGUAGUGGAGGAGAAUUGUGACGCCCGGAUAAUUAAGCUAUAGUAAUUCCCUAUUAAUGAUGGCACGUCACCACAAUUACUGUUGUUGAUCUCACGUUAGUUCGAAACCGAUUCCAAUUCAAAUUUGAAUUAAAGGCAAACACCAAAGUUUUCAAACAUUAAAAAUAAAAUGUUCCGGUUGUGCCAAAUAAUGUAUAGGUAAUCAUGGUGGAGAAAGCACACUUUUAUAGGAUGCUUAAAUACUCUAAGAUGAAUUAAACAGUAGCAAAAACUAUUAUUUACAUACUUUUAAAUAAUAAUUAAUUACGAAACUAUUUUACUUUGGGUAGCAAAAUUAAUGUGGUAGUGGCAUAAUUGGUGACAUCAAUUUAGGUGCCACUUUGGUAUAUUGUUAACACUAGAAUAAACAGCAACUAAAUGAAACAGAAAAUAAAUAAAGUAAAUAAAAGAGAAAAGAAAAGUAAAACAAAAUUGAACAAAAGACCCCCCUUUUUGCUGGGCCUCGGCCCAGCCGGCCGGCACAGCCGACCAUCCCGCACGCCUAGUGUACUAAGGCCCCGCUACCCCCCGACCGUAACCUAAUCCCCCCACGAUCCCCACUCCUCACACGCCUCUCCUCCUUCCCCGUUCUGGAUCUGGGCGGAGCGCCUGACCCCGAUGUCCCUCGUCCCACCGCGGCCACCAUGCGCCCCGCCGCCUAGGAGCUCGUCGCACGCCUCGUCGUUGACCACUUCCUCGCCCCCGACCACGCGUAGGAGCCAGGACGGCCCACGACGCCGCCCCGUGCUGGGCUUCCUCCUCGGGCCACCGCACACCGCCACCGACUCCGGCCACCCCGAGCCUCCCUCGAGCCUGCUGCCAUGCCCUACGGCUCCACUGUGAGCUCCGCCGCCAAAUCCCUUUCUCCCCCGUGCUCGAUUCCACCGCCUAGCCAUCAUCCCGUUGAGCAGCGAGCUCCGACCGCCGCCAUGGGCGAUGAGCACCACGCUCCCGAACCCCCCUCUGCUCGUACGAGCUACGCCAACACGUUCAUGGAGCUCCGUAGAGGCCGCCUGUGCCGUUUGUUUGGUCAACUCCCUCGUGUAGCCCGCUUUUGCUGAGCUCCCGCUCCGGUCGCCGCCUCAGUUCAUCGCCGUCGCCGUUCCCGACCAUCUCCGGUCGAGGUAGAGCCCCCGUUCGACGCGCGCUGCUGCGUGUGUUCGAAUGCAUCUGGCCGCAUCCAAAAUGGUGCCCGGUACGCGUUUUUCGACGCGCUCCAGCGUGUCGCCGCCGUCGGUUUGGUCACCUGCGUGCCGGCCGUUCGAAACGCCUCGUGGGCCACCGACAAGUGGACCCCGCGGGGAUUAACCACUAACCCCCCACUGACAUGUGGGCCCCUGCCUCUAAUUAGGUUAGUUAAAAAUAAUAAACACUGUUAUUAGAGUAGUCACUGACAACCUGGCCCACAUACUAAUUUGUUUAAUUUAUUUAUUUAGAACCUGUUAUUAUAAACAGUCACUGACUACUGGGUCCCGCUGGACCCAGUUGGCUAGUCAACUCUGCUGGCUGGGCACUCCCAGUCAGUGACAGGUGGGACCCCCUUGGGCCCCUUUGACUUCGUUGACCAGUCAACUGGUCAACAGUUGACUGGCUAACUCAGCCCCUGCCCCACAUGUUACUCUUAGUAGCACAUGUGUGGGUACACUUCUGUGUACCCGUAGUAAUUCUACUUUUAUUUUCGAUUUAAAUUAAAUUCAGAAAAUGUAUAAACUUUGAAAAUUAAUAUAAAAUAAUCCGUAACUCGGAUGAAAAUACUUUGUACAUGAAAGUUGCUCAAAACGACAAGCCGAAUCCGGAUCCGUAGCCUGUUUGUCCGCCACACAUCGUUAGCAUAGCAAACACACAACUUUCCCACUCCGGUUCAUCUGUCCGAAAACGCGAAACACCGGGAAUACUUUCCCGGAUGUUUCCCCCUUCGCCGGUAUCACCUACUACCGCGUUAGGGCACACCUAGCACCGUUCAUUGUCAUGUCAUGCAUCGUCAUGCAUAUGUUUGCAUUAUAUUUAUUUUUUCUCCCCCCUCUUCUCUCGCUAGACAUCGAGGCCGACGCCGCUGCUAUCCAGUACGACUACAGUGUUGACGACCCCUUCUUCUUGCCAGAGCAACCAGGAAAGCCCCCCCUUAAUCACCAGAUAUCGCCUAUUCCUUCUCUCUACUGCUUGCAUUAGAGUAGUGUAGCAUGUUACUGCUUCGGUUAAUCCUAUUCUGCUGCAUAGCCUGCCAUUGUUGCUACAAUUGUUACCCUUACCUGCAAUCCUAAAUGCUUAGUAUAGGAUGCUAGUAUUCCAUUAGUGGCCCUACAUUCUUGUCCGUCUGCCAUGCUAUACUAUCGGGUCGUGAUCACUCGGGAGGUGAUCGCGGGUAUAUACUUGCAUACAUAUUAUACAUGAUACAUGUGGUGACUAAAGUCGGGUUGGCUCGUAGAGUACCCGCAAGUGGUUUCGAUGAGGGGGCUGAAAGAACAGGUGGUUCCAUCCCGGUAGAGGUGGGCCUGGGUUCCCGACGGCCCCCGACUGUUACUUUGUGGCGGAGCGACAUGGCAGGUUGAGACCACCUAGGUGAGGGGUGUGCCUGGCCCUGGUCGGCGUCCGCGAUUACUUCAAAAUAACACGCUUAACGAGAUCUUGGUAUUUGAUCCGAGUCUGGCCACUGGCCUAUAUGCACUAACCAACUACGCGGGAACAGUUAUGGGCACUCGACGUCGUGGCAUCAGCCGAAGCCUUCUCGACGUUAGCGACUGAGCGACGCGCGCCGGGUUGGACUGGAACGCCUGCUCUUGUAUUAGGGAGGCUAGGUCUGCUUCCGGCCGCGUUUGCAAUGUGCAGGUGUGCAAUGGGCGAUGUGCCCAGACCCCUGUGCCAUAGGAUUUAGACCGACGUGCUGACCUCUCUGUUGUGCCUAUGUAGGGCUGUGACGUGUUGAUCUUCGGAGGCCGGGCAUGACCCAGGAAAAUGUGUCCGGCCAAAGGGGAUCGAGCGUGUCGGGUAAUGUGGUGCACCCCUGCAGGGAAGUUUAUCUAUUCGAAUAGCCGUGAUCUUCGGUAACAGGACGACUUGGAGUUGUACCUUGACCUUAUGACAACUAGAACCGGAUACUUAAUAAAACACACCCUUCCAAGUGCCAGAUAUAACUCGGUGAUCGCUCUCACACAGGGCGACGAGGAGAGGAUCGCCGGGUAGGAUUAUGCUAUGCGAUGAUACUUGGUGAACUUACCAUCUACUCUCUUCUACAUGCUGCAAGAUGGAGGUUGCCAGAAGCGUAGUCUUCGACAUGACUAGCUAUCCCCCUCUUAUUCUGGCAUUCUGCAGUUCAGUCCAUCGAUAUUGCCCCUCUACACAGAUAACCAUGCAUAUGUAGUGUAGAUCCUUGCUUGCGAGUACUUUGGAUGAGUACUCACAGUUGCUUUGCUCCCCUUUUUUCCCUUUCCUUUCUUCCUGGUUGUCACAACCAGAUGCUGGAGCCCAGGAGCCAGACGCCACUGUCGACGACGGCUCCUACUACAGCGGAGGUGCCUACUACUACGUGCAGGCCGCUGGCGACGACCAGGAGUAGUUUAGGAGGAUCCCAGGUAGGAGGCUUGUGCCUCUUUCGAUCUGUAUCCCAAUUUGUGCUAGCCUUCUUAAGGCAAACUUCUUGAACUUAUGUCUGUACUCAGAUAUUGUUGUUUCCGCUGACUCGUCUAUGAUCGAGCAAUUGUAUUCGAGCCCUCGAGGCCUCUGACUUGUCUUAUGAUGCUUGUAUGACUUAGUUUAUUUUUAGAGUUGUGUUGUGAUAUCUUCCCGUGAGUCCCUGAUCUUGAUCGUACACGUUUGCGUCUAUGAUUAGUGUAUGAUUGAAUCGGGGGCGUCACACAAACCCUAGUCCAAAAACCCCCCAUCCCCCAACCCAUACAAAAAACCCCGGCCCAUCUAUCAAACCAACUACUGUAACCAUCUGAACUACUGUAUGAAUCACAAUCGUACUAACUCUACAAGCUAAGCAAGUGCAAAUGGGUGCCCAGUGCAAAUACCUGCUCCUCCACGGCAGGCGGCGCAACGGGGGCAUCGGGAUGGACUGCACCGCUCGACGCCGUCACCUUCUGCAGCGAUGAAGCGGAGCCUGCCACAUCCGCAGCGGUUGCGAGUUUCCCGGCACCGCCGUGGAAGCCACCGACAUCCGCGGUCACCGCGCCCUGACCCUGCAGCUCCACCACAUCUUCGCCCGGUGCGCCGGCGUUGCCACGAUCGUCGGCCAUCUGACAGAUGGAGGCGAUGAAGGUGAGGAAGAGGAUGCGGUGGGGGAGAGCGAGACGGUGCGGUGGAGGCAGUGGAGGAGAGCGAGACCACGACGGCGUGUAGAGGAAGACGAUGCGGCAGCGAGUGGAUUUGGGGGAAAACGGUAGGGGCGAUGGAGGUGGUUGCCCUCUUUAUAUGAUGGGAUGUUUCGGGCAUGUCCAUGGACAUGUGUGUCGGUGUCAAAACCGGCGGAUCUCGGGUAGGGGGUCCCGAACUGUACGUCUAGGAUCGAUGGUAACAGGAGACGGGGGGCACGAUGUUUACCCAGGUCGGGCCCUCUCUAUGGAGGUAAUACCCUACUUCCUGCUUGAUUGAUCUUGAUGAAUAUGAGUGUUACAAGAGUUAAUCUACCACAAGAUCGUAAUGGCUAAAACCCUAGGAGCCUAGCCUAUGUGUAUAUGGUAAUGAAUGUCCCCUAUCCGGACAAUGCUCUCCGGUUUAUAUAGACACCAGAGAGAUCUAGGGUUACAUGGAGUCGAUUACAUAAGAAGGAAUCUUCACAGCUGGUCGCCUAGCUUGCCUUCCACGCCAAGGAAAGUCCAAUCCGGACACGGGUAUAGUCUUCGGCCUUCGUAUCUUCACAACCCAUCAGUCGGCCCAAUGAGUAACAGGCCGGACGCCCGAGGACCCCUUAGUCCAGGUCUCCCUCAGUAGCCCCUGAACCUGGCUUCAAUGACGAGGAGUCCGGCGCGUAGAUUGUCUUCGACAUUGCAAGGCGGGUUCCCCUUUCUCCGAACUCCAGGAUAGUUCUUUGGAUGCGAUGAUUGUAUCCGGACCUGUUACGCACACCACACACAACCACAGAGAGAAUAUAAUAUUUGUACAAAUCUAAUUUGUUGACAGCUUCUUUACAACACGACAUCGCGCUUGUCCGGUCAUAAUUUUGAACCGUUUUUGUUCUGUCAUCCCACGUUUCGAGACGCGGUUGCUAUUGGCACGUCUUGUCAAAACAAAGAUCGUGUCCCCUUAUUGCGGGAUUCUCAUCAGUGCGGGCAUGGGUAACUCAACCGUGCCGUUUAUACAACCCUUGGGAACAGGCGAAUCCUAAGGCGAGUGAGGAGGCGUUUAAUAUUUGCUGCCUUUAUAUGGGGAUAAGGAUUCCCCCUUCCUCUUCUCACACUCUCUCUCUGUCUCCGCCUUUCCGAUCUCAAGCUCCAGCCCCCAAGUUCUCAUCUCCUUUCCACUCAAGCAACCAUGUCCGGAUCCGGUGGUCAGGGCAAGUGGAUGGUCUCCUCCAUCAAGGAGGAGGACAUUACCGAGCUCCGGGCGGCCGGAUAUUUGGCGAAGGAGAUCGCCCAUCGUCUGCCAGCCGAGGGACAAGUCGUUCCCACGCCGGAGCCCACAGAGAGGGUAGUAUUCACCACUCAUUUCUUCCGCGGGCUAGGGUUUGCACUCCACCCUUUCGUCCGCGGGCUGAUGUAUUAUUACGGGAUAGAUUUUCAUGAUCAGUCCCCGAAUUCCUUCCUCAACAUCUCGACGUUUAUCGUCGUGAGCGAGGCCUUCCUCCGCAUCCAACCCCACUUCAGGCUGUGGCUCAAAGUCUUCAACGUGAAGUCAAAGGUGGUGGACGGCCAGCACGCAGAGUGCGGAGGAGCUAUGGUGAGCAAGCUUCCCAACGUCUCCUGGCCGAAAGGUAUUUUUGUGGAGACGGUGAAGGAGUGGCAGAGACAAUGGUUCUACAUCACAGAACCCCGCGGCACCACCUGGGCCGCAGCUGCCGAAUUCCGCUCCGGUGCUCCCAUGCGGCUCACCUCUUGGGUCGAGAAGAGUCCGGACUGGUGUUCGUCCGAUGAGCUGAUAGCGUUGCAGACGCGCGUCCAGAGCAUGAUAGCCAAGAACGUCAAGCUCGUCGAUGUAAUCUAGGUGAUGCUGGUUCGCCGGAUUCUUCCGUGCCAGCGCAGAGGACGACCUCUGUGGGAUUUCGACCCGAAGAAGCAUCGGACCCUGGUGAGGCUCUUCGAGACCACCCACGAAGAUGCCUGGAGGUUGCUCUUUAAGGGAAUGAGAAACCGCCGGCCAAGGAUUUAGACUGUGGUCACGACUGUAAACACCACGCCAGCGAGGUAUGUUACUUUUGACGCAUCCCCGACUUAAAUGUUUCGAGGAUGAUGUCUGAGAUUUUAUUAUUGCUCCCUCAGGACUGGAUGGAGAGGGCAAAGCGGAUCCAGUGUCCGGCUCCGCUGCCCGAAGAACCGGUCAUCCCGUGCCUGGCAAAGAUGCUGGUGCCGGCGCCGUAUAAGGCGCUGGAGAAGAAGGCCAAGGGGGCCAAGAGUGGCCCCCAUGGCAAGGGCACUUCGGAUGUGACGUCCGAAGACGACGAGGCCCAUUCCUCUGUCCCUGAGGACAAUGACGAGGAAGAGGAGGAGGAGGAGGAGAACAACCCUCCCCCCGAGGCGAAGAAGAAGAAGAGGGCGUCUUCGGCGCGUCUGGAGGCGGAGACGCCAAGAAGGGGAAAGGCGUCCCAGCGGUCAACACCGCAUGGGAUGUCGACCGUAGUCCGGAACGACGCCCCCGUACUAAGCCCCGGGCCACAUCGUAAGUGACGUGGCUUGCUGGUGCGCACAUCCGGCCCUUUCUCUCCGUUUAUCUUUGACAUAGUUUAACUGUACUAUUGCAGUCCGGCCCGUGACCUUGUCCAGCGAUCCUCAUCUGAAGGUUCAUUGGCUCCGUCGGAGAUGGCGAGCCAGUCGCCACCGCCUGCUUACUCCCCCGGGGCCAGGGACGACACCGAAGUGCUGUCCCGGAGGGCCGAUCCGAACCGGGGAGGAGCCCAGGACGCUGUCCGGGAGGCGCCACGAGGAGAAGCCUCCAUUGCCGGACACAUGGAGGACACGAUCCCUAUGGAGACUGGCGAAGAGGGCCGCAUCCAGUUUGGCCCUCAGCCGAAUACGAUUUCGGAGACCCAUAUGGCUCCGGAGUCGGGCGAGCAGCCCCCUUUGAAGGAGGGGGGUGCGCCGCUUCCGCCGGUGGUCCCUGUCCAUCCAGGGGCGCCGGACAACCUGAUGGAGGCACUACGAGGCGCCUCCGUUAUGGACGAGCACCGUGUCCUUAUGGGCGCGGUGAUUGAGAAGGUUCAGUCCACCAAGAGUGGACUAAACGAAGCCUCCAGCAACCUGUUGAUAGGUUUCGAGGUAAGUGACAUAGAAAGAGAAAAAACCCCUGUAGUCAGUAGCCCCUGAGACACUGUCCGGUGUUCGGCGAGAAGAACCGGACAAAGGAUCUAUUGUAGGAGACUAACGUAGCAUGUAUGCAUAAGCAGGCGUCGCUGUUGGCCGCAACCUCGCAUGCUGCCGAAGUCUCUGAAUUGUGGCAGAGGCUGGAGCGGACCGAGAACGAGCUCGGCGAGGUCAGGGUUCGGCUCCAGGAGAAGCAAGGUGAAUAACGACUUGCUGUAUGUUCGGAAAGCAUAGGCGAUGUAUAUUGACUGUAGUGUCGUAAUAUGUGCAGGAGCCGCGACCGAGGUCGAGGCCCUAAGGAAGGCCCUGGGCGAGGCCGAGGAGAAAGCUGUCCAGUAGCAGGCCGCUCGUAAGAAGCUCAAGGCCCGGGUCAAAGAAGUCCAACAGGAGCUUCAAGAUGCGGUGAAAAAAUGUGAGACCUUGGAGAAUGAUGCGUCAGCUAAGGAGGCCGAACUCACCAAGGCUCGUCAGAGCGCAGAGACCGCAUAGAAUGAGGCCCAGGCCGCCCUCCAGGAGAUCCAGGAGGCCAAGAAGAUCACGGCGUGUAAGGUAUUUAAGAUGCAAAGCAAGUAUGCGGAGAAGCAAUACCGUUUACUAACCCGGGUUCGGAGUUCCCCAGGGUCUUUUGCAGAUCUACCACGCAGCGUAUCAGACGGUGCAGAGUUCUACCGAGCCGAAGGAGGAGGUUCUAUGGAGAAACUAUUCUGGUCACAGUACGCGACGCCAGAGCAUCCUGUGUCCUUCACCGAUCAGCUGAAGCAGCUGGUGGAGCUGCACAGGGUGGCCGAACUAGCCAUGAAGGAUUUGACAAUCCGGCUAUGGCCAGCCGAAGCUAUGCUCGGCAGCUACUUCGGACUCGUGAGGCGUCUGGUGGAGGCCUGUCCGUGGCUGGACGUCAUCAAGUGCUCCGCCUGUAUUGAAGGUGCCCGUAUGGCCUUCGCUCGCUGCAAGAUGUGGUGGGCGAAGAUGAACGCUGUUGAAGUUGCCAGCGGGCCGCCGGAGGGCAAGGAGCACCGCAGACACGAGUGAUAUUUCGCGGAUGUCGUAGAGGGGUCUCGACUUGUGGCGGCGCAAUGUUCGCAGGACAUUCUAUUUGAAUAAAUGUAUUCAUGUUGCCUUUGCCUUGUAUUACGGGAACAAAGCCGGUGUUUGUAAAAUAAUUUUAUUAUGCUUUGAAUUGUUUCCUCCUGUGCGGCCGUGUUAUUUGUAAUCUAAAGGUUGGCCAGUCGUCGGCUUCUGCCCUCACGUAGGUAGUACGGAGGUGUUCGGGAUGGAUUCUAAACAAUCUUGAUCCAAUUAUAUGGUCCUUUGGAGGAGUUGUUUAGCGCAACGAACAAGGCAAUUGGACUGUACGCCUUGAACACCCUCACUUAGCCAUAGGAGUUUUAUAAUUAAGCAAGUGUGCAGCCCCUGGUCCAGGCCAGGGUGCUGUCAGCAUGUGAUCAGGAAGUACCGAUCCUUCGCAUUACGCGGAAAAAAUCUCCAACGAUUUUGUAACCCUCGAACAGCUGACCGGCUCUCGUCGUAUCAUGACAGUUAGUUUUCGGCUUUCUGUACUGAGGUGCUCAUCUUGUCAAGGCCAGGGCACAAUCGCAGUAGUUCUCCCUUUACUACCCUAGCCGAUAGAGCGGAACGUAGGGUAGCAAGCACAGGAGCCAGGCAACCCAACUAUUGACCAAAGACAUGAUUCGGAGCCAAUGAAUAUAAUGUUGAAUUCGGGGUGCCAAACUUAUAUAUUAGAAGUGUUCGGACUUUGCAGCCGUAUUGUGGGGCAACAAGUAGCCCCCGGCGAAUAUGAAACGUACAGAAGAGUAUCGAUGCAGCAAAUAAGAAGAUCGAAAUAAAACGUAGUAAGAAGCGAAAACCACAGAAACUGGGCCACGGGCCAUUUUUAUUAUAACUGGAUGGAUACGUCAAGGCGUAUCCUGUACAGAUGGUGCGAAAAGUAUCCGGGCUAUUUAACAUGCCGGAAUCUGUAGGGUGCAGCGUGCGGGUCCUGAGAAAUAAGUAUGAAUACCGUCAAGAAGAACGUAUAAAGGUUACCCUACACACCUGUGCCGUUUGCCUCCGUUGUAUGCCAAUCCUUCUACAAGACUUGCAAUCAGGCCCGCGGAAAAAGGGACCUAAAACAAGAAAAAGGUAAAAGUAUGUGUGUCCGGGGUCUGCCUAGCCGAGCUGUAGACCCCGGGUUAUCUUGUGCCUCCGUCGAUGUCCAUGGAAUUUUGAGUGUGUAAUUGUGUACGCGUGGUAUGCAUGCCACUACCUCAUUGGGACUGGGAUGGAGGCCGAAUUGCUAGUCGAGCUCUUGACGAGCCGCGCCGUCCUGUUGCAGUGUAGUCCGGGACCUCUUGAUGAUGUCCGAGGGCUCAGCAGCCAUACUAUGGUGCUGCUUGAGAAGGCCACUCUGCACUACUGCUGCUAGGGAGGCGGUGUGCUCCUCUGUUCGGAGGGAGCAUUCCAUAUUGCCAUUGACUGUUAUGAUGCCGCGUGGACCGGGCAUCCUGAGCUUGAGAUAAGCAUAGUGUGGCACUGCGUUGAAUCUAGCAAACGCGGUUCGUCUGAGCAGUGCGUGAUAGCCGCUGCGGAAGGGGACGAUAUCGAAGAUUAACUCUUCGCUUCGGAAGUUGUCCGGAGAACCAAAGACCACCUCCAGCGUGAUUGAGCCCGUACAGCGGGCCUCUACGCCUAGUAUGACUCCUUUAAAGGUAGUCUUUGUUGGUUUGAUUCGCGAGGGGUUAAUGCCCAUCUUCCGCACUGUGUCCUGAUAAAGCAGGUUGAGGCUGCUACCACCGUCCAUCAGGACUCGUGUUAGGUGAAACCCGUCAAUAAUUGGGUCGAGGACUAGUACGGCUGAACCGCCAUGGCGGAUACUAGUUGGGUGAUCCCGGCGAUCGAAGGUGAUCGGGAAUGAUGACUACGGAUUGAAUUUUGGGGCGACUGGCUCUACCGUGUAGACGUCCCUAAGUGCUCGCUUACGCUCCCUUUUGGGGAUGUGCGUAGCAUAUAUCAUGUUCACCGUUUUGACUUGAGGGGGAAAUUUCUUCUGCCCCCCAGUGUUCGGCUGCCGGGGCUCUUCGUCGUCCUCACUUUGUGAUCCCUUUUCUUUGUUUUCAGCAUUUAACUUGCCGGCCUGCUUGAAGACCCAACAAUCCCUAUUGGUAUGAUUGGCUUGCUUAUCCGGGGUGCCGUGAAUUUGGCACGGACGGUCGAGUAUGCGGUCCAGGCUGGAAGGUCCCUCGUUGUUUCUUUUGUAGGGCUUCUUCCGUUGGCCGGACUUGGGGCCACUGAAUCCGGCGUUGAUUAUGGUGUCAUCGGUGUUGUCGCCAUUGCUUUGGGGUUUGUGUCUAUUGCGCCGGAGCUUUCCGGUGCUGUUCUUGGCCUCAGUGGGACCUGCCUCGCUGGCUGUGUUUUUACUACAAGCCAGCCAACUGUCCUCACCCGCGCAAAAGCGGGUCAUGAGUGCCGUACGGGCUGCCAUAGACUUCGGCUUUUCUUGGCCAAGGUGGCGUGCUAGCCAUUCGUCACGGAUGCUGUGCUUGAAGGCUGCUAGGGCCUCGGCAUCCAGACAGUCAACAAUCUGGUUCUUUUUGGUUAGGAACCUAGUCCAGAAUUUUUUAGCUGAUUCUCCAGGUUGUUGAACUAUGUGGCUUAAGUCAUCGGCAUCUGGUGGCCGGACAUAAUUUCCUUGGAAGUUAUCGAGGAAAGCCUCUUCCAAGUCCUCCCAACUGCCGAUGGAAUUCUCAGGCAGGCUGUUUAACCAGUGCCAAGCUGGCCCUUUGAGCUUUAAUGGGAGGUAUUUGAUGGCGUGGAGGUCAUCUCCUCGAGCCAUAUGGAUAUGGAGAAUGAAAUCCUCGAUCCAUACUAUGGGAUCGGUUGUGCCGUCGUAUGAUUCGAUGUUGACAGGCUUGAACCCCUCGGGGAAUUCGUGAUCCAGUACUUCGUCUGUGAAGCAGAGAGGGUGUGCGGCGCCUCUAUAUCGGGCCGCGUCAUGGCGUAGCUCUGAUGGAGUCCAUCUGCGGUAUUCGGCCCCAGCGUCGUUAGGUUUAUCACGUCCGAAUAGGUAGCCGUCGUCGUGCCUCGAGGCACGCCCUCGCGAUCCGUAGAUCGAUCUUGUAUGUCCUGCUCUAUCGUCCAGGCUCUGCCGGAGGUCGUACGUGUGACCCCGAACUCUUCCGUCUUUAUUUUUACGAGGCGGUGGGGCAGGCUGCUGUUCGGCCUGAAUUGCCGCUUUAUCCCGGCCGCCCUGUCUCGACCACGUGGUGGUCGUUCCGCAUUACGCGAGGGAGAUGUGUGCUCCGGUGCUUCCUCGUCGAAUUGAGGUAGCAGUCUGCGUUUCUGGUAGCUCUUUGCUGGGCGCCUGAGGCCGUAUUCUUCGGCUGUCAGGACAUCAGUCCAUCUGUUGACAAGCAGAUCUUGUUCAGCUUGAAGCUGCUGCUGUUUCUUUUUUACGCUCCUUGCAGUGGCUAUGAGCUGAAGCUUAAAGCGCUCCUGCUCGAGAGGAUCCUCGGGCACGAUGAAGUCUUUGUUGCCAAGGCUUGUCUCCUCCUCGGAGGGUGGACGGUAACUAUCGUCCUCCGAGUCAUCUUCCAUGGCCUGUUCGUCAGGGUUGUCUUGCCUGCUGUCAUGUUCUUGUUCGGAUGUAGCCCCGACAGGGUCUUCAUUGUUUUCGGCGUCGCCCGGAGUACUAUUUUCUCCGGUGCCAGUGUUGCCGUCCUUUGAUCGACGGGGCUUAGAGCGGCGUUUGGGCUGCCGGCGCUUGGACUGUGUCUCCGAGGUUUUAUUCGCAUCUGGCUCUUCUUUGUCGUCGCCAGAUCCUUUGGGUGUGUCAACCAUGUGCACGUCAUACGAAGAGGUGGCCGUCCAACGUCCAGUGAAUGGCGGGUCUUGGCCUUGCUCCUGAUCGGCAUCGUCGUCCAUACCGUCGAUGUCUUCGGAGCCAUAGUCAAGCACGUCAGUUAAGUCAUCGACAGUGGCUAUGAAGUGGGUGGCGGGUGGGAAGCAAAAUUCUCCAUCAUCAUCCGAAAGUUCAAACCGAACAUAGUUCGGCGACGAGUCAUCCGCCAAGGAUAGGUUUCUUAAUGAGUUUAGUAGGUCGCCCAUGGGCGAGUGUUGGAAGACAUCUGCGGCGCUGAACUCGAGAAUCGAUAACCGAUCAAACUCGGCGUUCGCGGGCGCGCGCGGUUCGGAACUCGCAGCCGGAUAUGAGUCCAGCAUUCCGUUAUCACAGAUGUUGCAUGAGGCAGAGUCCAUAUGCGGCUCCAACACUGCGGGCUCGGUGGCCUCGGAUGGCGCAAUCUGCUCCGGCCUUAAGGUCAUUGCAGCAACAGGAACCAUCUCCUGGAUGUGAUCCGGUGACAGAUUUAAGUCAUGUUCAUCGGGGGCAGCGGUCGCCGCGGUCUCGAAUCUGGUGAAGAUCAAGUCUCCACGGAUGUCUGCGACGUAAUUCAGGCUUCCGAAUCUGACCUGAUGGCCAAGGGCGUGGCUAUCGACCUGCUCCAGAUGGCCAAGCGAGUUGGCCCGCAGUACGAAGUCGCCGAACACAAAGGUUUGUCCGGGGAGGAAGGUUUCUCCCUGGACAACGUCAUUACUGACGAUCGAAGGGGCCAUCGAGCCCUUUGCCGACGGCACAGUGGAACUCUCAAUGAAAGCACCAAUGUCGGUGUCAAAACCGGCGGAUCUCGGGUAGGGGGUCCCGAACUGUGCGUCUAGGAUCGAUGGUAACAUGAGACGGGGGACACGAUGUUUACCCAGGUUCGGGCCCUCUCUAUGGAGGUAAUACCCUACUUCCUGCUUGAUUGAUCUUGAUGAAUAUGAGUGUUACAAGAGUUGAUCUACCACGAGAUCGUAAUGGCUAAAACCCUAGGAGCCUAGCCUAUGUGUAUAUGGUAAUGAAUGUCCCCUAUCCGGACUAUGCUCUCCGGUUUAUAUAGACACCAGAGAGAUCUAGGGUUACAUGGAGUCGGUUACAUAAGAAGGAAUCUUCACAGCUGGUCGCGUAGCUUGCCUUCCACGCCAAGGAAAGUCCAAUCCGAACACGGGUAUAGUCUUCGGCCUUCGUAUCUUCACAGCCCAUCAGUCCGGCCCAAUGAGUAACAGGCCGGACGCCUGAGGACCCCUUAGUCCAGGACUCCCUCAACAUGCUACCCCACGACCGCGGUCUUGCAUGCGCCCACGUAUACGAGGCCCCACUCGUCAGCUAACGGUCAAAGGCAUUGACCCGACGGCAACGUCCGUUAUAACCAGUUAUGAGGGUUUCGGGCAAGGGAGUGGGGAGAAGUGAGCAAAAGUUAACAGAGUGGGGAUGAAUGAGUAGAGCUAAGGAACCAGGGGCACAGAAAUAAAAAUCCCUAAAGUUAAAUGAUCAAACAGGGAUUAGUAAGAACAUACCAACAAACAGAUCAUCUAGUUAAUCUAACAGACUGUGCGAUUUUCCUAACCCUUAAACUAAAUGACUAAUGUUGGAUAAAUCAGACUAACACAUAGAUCAUCUAACUAAUGUAACCAGCGUGUGAUGUGCUUGGACCUUAAGCAAAAUGACCAAAGCGUGGACUAAUCCAAUAACACCAGCCCCCGCCAAAUCUGCCCCUCCGUCUCUCCUCCACAAGCCCCACUAAUAAGCACAAAGAAAUGAAACGAAAAAAAACACCAAGCACCCAUAUGUGUAGAUGAGAACAAAAUCACAGCCCUAGUAGGAUGCAGCCAAGGAAGGAAAGGCACAUGGCAGCAAACAAAUAAGGCAGAAAAGAAAACCACUAAAAUCCACCCACAGGAUAACACUCUGCCUCCACCAAUAGAAGAAACAACAAAGGAACACACUCAUUUGUUAGCAUGCACACCCACACGAACGACACGCACGAUAUAUCAACAACAAAUACACACAGAUACACGAGCACUGGCCUAGAUAUGCAAAGGACCAACAGCUUAGAGAAGAAGUAGGCGAGGGGUCAACCUGCAGUUCCCUGGACAUGGACGAAGACAUGAAGGCCGCCACGGAUCCAACAAGAUCAACCAAAAUAAGGAGCACCUGACAUUCCAAAGCAAAAUAAAUGUCGACAUCACGGCUCAGCUGAAGUAGAUGAUGAAAACCAGGUCAAAAUGGAGGUUUACCCACAGGUCGAUGAGCUCAGUAACAGAUCCGGACCAGCGAUGGGAAGAACUACAGAUCUGCAGGCAAAAGAGACCCAAAAUAAAUCAUAACUGACCUAUCCAACAGGGAGAAAGCACAAGCGACGGUGGGAAUCACCUUAGCCAGCGUCAUGGCGGGACAAUUCCACGGACCAGGCAACAGAACGGCAUGGGGAAAUGCAUCAAGCAAAGUGUUAUUCACUUGUUCUACAAGAAAAGAAAUAAGUAAAUGCUUGGGAGAAAUGGAAGAAUUAAGAACAGACCACAUUCUUGCUCAUGAUUCAUGAAAAAGGCACUAUCUACACUACCAAUUUAAAGAAAUAAACUUGCAUCAGUUGGGAAACAACGAAUGUGUAUAGUCCAGUGCAGAAGAUAUUACUUGCGAACAAAAAAAAAGAAGAAAAAAAAAUUACAGCCAAUAAAUGUAUUGCGUGUAACUAAAUAGAUUUUAGUAAAACAAAGCUGGUUCUCAGACAGCGCACUGUUAGUAUCAUCUCCAAGUAAUAUCAUAGUAUGAGAGAGAGUACCUGUAGGUUGUAGAGUGCCACAAGCGAACGGUGCCAUCCUCUGCGCCAGUAAUUAUAGUAGGUAGUUCUGGAUGGAAACAGACAACAGACACAUUGUGUGCAUGUCCUUCAAGUGUUUGAACACAGCUCUUGGUUUGGUAAUCCCAAACCUGAUCCAAAAAAUGAAGUAAUAAGUCAGAUCAAUCCCAAUAUACCCUCACAAUAGCACAAUUCAUCGCAGAAGACACGCCUUUGCAGUCUGAUCAUCAGAUCCAGUAAUUAAAAAUGGUCGAUCACCACUGGUGAAGUAAUCAGCAUAGUUCACGCCUUUUGAGUGGCCAUCUAAUGUGAAGUUAGGAUCAGGAGAACCAAUACUCCAUAUAUGAAGUUCACGUUGAAUAUUAGGAUAUCAAGCAGGGUACAGACCAAGAUACAAAACAUGACUCAGUUUAACCAGCAUCUUUUUGAGGAACAAUUACCAAUGCAUACAUACAAAAUAUUUCUUUUCCUAAACCAGUCCAUAUUCAUCUCCUUGUGAAACCAAUUGACCAUGUUCUUUAUAGCAUUCAACAGCACAGGCUCCCUUCUGGAUUAAAAAAAAUGAUAUCAUACGAACCCACUGUCUCCCCAAUAAUACAACCACUACAAAUUAUUAAUGAGGAAAUUAGAAAAGGCAGGGAUGGGGAUCUGCUAUACCCGGGGCGUGCAGAGGUAGCAGACGCGGAGCUCCUUCUUGUGUGUGUGCCGGAUCUCCUCGUCCAAGGCCGACAGCAGCGAGCUCGCCAAUCAAACCCUGGGUCAGGGCCACGGGAGGUGGAGGGAGGCAUGCCAGCCAAGAUUUUUAAAAGGGAACAUAGAGCAGCAUGAGCAUGGGGCAUAGAAUAAAUGGGGUCACCUUAAGAUCAAGAAUCAAUGGCCCUCACUCAGUUCAAAUCAGAAGGAAAGAACCACUAUUAUUGAUUAGAGUUAUUCUUAAUUAGGCAAAGCACUACAACACGGGAUCCUAAGCUACAGUUAAGGCAUACAAAACUAUAAGUGUCCGUUCUUUUCAUAUAUAAACAACCUUUAGUAUCUCAACCAGAACCAAAGCAAAAAAAUCAUGGUUAAGUAACCAGCAAAGGAAGAAUGAACCUUUUGGAAUUUUAAAGUAGCAAGACAUGAAAAGUUCUUUUUUGCCUUCAAUAUUACACACAGUAGGGGAGGUAGCUGCAGUUUUAUUGCACAGUGGGCUCAGAUUCGCCUUUCCUCGAUCAUAUAACCUACCCCCAUCAUCUCUUAUCACCAGAUCAAUCUUUUUAUACAGUAGAGCUGCCCUGGUUAUCACUCAACAAGAAUGACCAUCCAAGGACAACAACAAGUAUCACAGGAUCAAAAAGGAUUCUAGAGACAAGAGGGAGGAUCCAACAUGAUACCCACAGGUGCCUCAACUACUCAAAGGCACACUUAUUUCAGCGAUGGUUAAUCAUCAUCGCCCUAGCAAGAAUGGCUUCCGACUGAUGGGGCACGUGAUUAACACGCGGUGGCACGCGUUUUGGACUACUAUUCAUUGCGACAGUGUUAGUUUUUGAUCUGGCGGCUCAAAUCGUCUCGAAGCGAGAUCCGACGGACGAAAACGCAUCAGGAAAACGACCCGACGGCCGAAAGUGCCUGAACUCUGAGGAGCCAGGUAAGGUGCUUCAGUUUUAAUUUCCGGAUGGAUCAGCAGAUCAAUAUGUUCUUAUGAGGGUGAAACUGCCCUGGUUAUCACUCAUCAGAAAUGACCAUCUAGGGACAAAGCCACUAAAAUAAGAACGUGAUCAAAAUGGCUCAAAGAAAUGAGGGAGGAUCCAAAUUAAUAUCCACAAGUGCCUCGAUUUCUCGAGAGCAUGCCUAUAUCAGCCAUAACUGAUCACCAUAGCCCUGGCCAUGUCCCAUUCAGUAGCCGAAGCAGGGCAGGGGAAAAUGGAGCUCACCGAGGGAAGUUGUAGCCGAGGCAGUACUCAGUGGACGCCGGGGUUGCGCCUGAACGCCGUCCAACCGGCGAGGAACCACGUCGGAGUUGCGCAUUGCACCGUCCCGCCGACAAGCAUGAACACCACUAGCACCGAAGCGGCCAAGGAGGCGAUGUGUAGCACAUCUAGGAGCACCAUCAGGGGCGGAGAUGACCGGGGCCUAGUCAGUUAUCUUUUAGUUGCAAUCAAGGAUAAGAUUUGUUAGAACAUUCUUGUGGUCAAAACUUAUCAUCAUAUGCAAGCAAUGGGCCUAUCUAUUAGCUGCUUGUAGUGCCAAAGGUAAAAUCAGAAGGCCUUUUACUGCCACCUUGCAUGAAGAGUUUCUAUUCACACAUGUGUACUGCUAUAUGAACCUGCACGUGCUGACUAAUUAAACAACAAAAGCUACUGAGAUGCGAACUGACUUUUCCCAUGGCCAACGGCACCUCAAUAUCACUGGUCCGAUGUUGCCCCCUGUCCAGCGAACAUAGGUUCACAAUUUUAUUAAAGUUACUAACAGCAAAAUACUGACAUAUAAAUGAUGCUAACUUAUGGAAAUCAUAGCCCAGCUGACAGGCAAUGAAUCUAAAGAACAACAUCUAAUGGUUUCUUGAGCAACGAAGCGUAAGAAACAAAUGUUGAAUCCAUAUAAAGGACCACCAGCAGCGGACCACAGAAGCAACUUUUAUGGAUCAAAGAGAAACACGGAUAAAAUAAGAAACAUGGUAAAAUGCUAAACCGACAAACAAGAAUUGUGUGCACCUUCUAUCUAAAUUCUUUGAGGGUUCUGACUUUAAGGGACCACAUAGAAGCAUGGUAGUCCCGAUUAAUGUAAUUUAAACCAUGGUGCUGGGUAAUCACAGAGGAUUUAUAUAGGUGUAUUUAUAGCAACAGUAGGGCAAGAUAUUGUGGAAUCGAACUCUGUAAAUUGCUAUUUGACAUGAGACCAAGCAUCGACAUAAAACAUAUAAGGCAUGCUCUCCUAUAACUGAAGCGCAUCCAUCUAGCAAACUAAAACACCCACCAACCUAAUUAGUUUCAGGUCUGCCUCGAGCCUCUCAUCCUUCCCAGCACCAACAGCGUCACGGAGGCACUAAGUGCUGUCCUCGAGCGUUGUGCACAUGCCCUGCACCAGGUCUGGCGUCAUCCGGUGGGGCGGGUCGCCGACAUCUGGUUAUGAAGUAUUUUCAUAUUGAGUGAUGGAAAAGGAACAUAUUUCAGUAGUACACCACAUUUAUAAGGCAUCUUCUGGAUUUGACACGCAUGAAUCAUGUAGCAAACAAAAAAAAAAAUACACG